This 52373-nucleotide long non-coding RNA is filed under the name Musa acuminata (dwarf banana). Its description in RNAcentral is "long non-coding RNA (MACU_LNC005998)". The stretch from base 1101 to 1182 matches the Rfam family "tRNA". Lineage: Eukaryota; Viridiplantae; Streptophyta; Magnoliopsida; Zingiberales; Musaceae. The record is from RNAcentral.
ACCAACAAACACAUCGAACACAUUAAUUAUUGAUACAAUAGGAACAUAGUAGUACCUUAUCUCAAGCACAAAGUACAAAAAAAGUUGCAUUAUUGAUACAAUAGAAUGAGACUUUGUAACAUGUUUGAUGCUUCUACCGCAUCACCAUGUCCCAACAAGAACAGAGCUCUUUACAAGUCUCAGGGACCGUCUUUACUGAAAUCCUAUAGCACCAUAACAUCAACAGCAGAGAGAGAGAGAGAGAGAGAGAGAGAGAGAGAGAGAGAGAGGCUUAGCCUCCCUUUUGCCUAUAUGACUUGCCUCUGUAGCUUCAGUUCAUGUCUUCCUCCUCUAUCUCUGGGGAGCUAGAGGAUGACAAGCUCCUUAUGGAUCAGUUUCUUCCUCUUCCUCCGCAUCUUUAGAGAGGACGAAGUCAAAACAGGAACCAGUCGAGCUCAAGUUCCCAUUCCUUCUCUCUCUCUUCUUUGUCAUGAAUUCUACAUCCUCCACACACUCCUUAUACUUCUUCGCAUCAUAAAACGAUGGAUAUCAACUACUUUACAGCACCAAGACGCUCUCGCCGUGGAUUCGCGGAUCUCGUCACCCACUUGAUCUUGGAUAAUGGAUGACGAUGCGACGCUGAAAACAUGGUCAAGUUUUGUUUACUAAGCACGGGGAGCUGCGAUGGAGACCAUCGAAGCAGCACACAUGGCUCCCAUAACCAAAAGCUAAAGAUCAUUCGAGUCACAAAGUGCAGGUUUUGGAGGACAACGCGAGGUGGGAUGCUUUUAGAAAGCAAGGCGAGUGACGAUUAAUUAGAUAUCAGAAACAAGGUGGUGUGGGUGUAUGAUUGGAUAAGGUAGGAAAUUGCUUAUGAGCUUAAACCAAUAAAGACAUGCAACUAUAUAUGUGUUAUUAGCCACCAUGUACGAAGCUUGGUGAAGCAUCUUAUCCGAACUUGAUACAGCAGAAGCUAACAACUUACAGACUUCUAAUCGUUCAGCAUUGUAUAGACAUGUCUGAUUAGUUUCUCAAGCAGCAAUUUCUGUUCUGUACAUGAUUUAUAAGCAGGACGUUUAAUCUUCCAUAUUAUGUGAUUAGUUUCCCUAAUCUACAACCAAGUGGUCGUGCCGGAGUGGUUAUCGGGCAUGACUAGAAAUCAUGUGGGCUCUGCCCGCGCAGGUUCGAAUCCUGCCGACCACGUUUUUUUCUCUUCCUUUGUUAUAAGAAUUCCAAAAUACUUUUAUUAUUUUUACUGAAUAGUGCAAUUACUAAUUCUAGUUUUGACGCCACAUCAGCUCCAUGCAAUCAGCGGUCGAGGGUUUCCUAUGAUCCACAUGUCGACACCGUACGUCACGAGUGAGGUAGCAGCUGAUAAGCUUAACGUCGCCCUCUUCGUAUGCUGACCAAGCGCUGACUCCUCAGGGCCACCAUCCGCUCGACACGUGUCUCCACAGAGUUCCCAAUUACCGAUCGUUUCGCACGCCAUCGCUGUCGACGUACAACACCGUCUGCGAACGACAAUUUCCGCGUAAUAUUCUUUUAUAAAAUAAAUUAAUUUUAAUUUACCUGAAUUUAAAUAAAUUGCCCUCUUAAAAAAAUAAGAUUAUUUUUAAAAAUAAAAAAUAGCACUUCUUUAUAACAAAAAAAAUUAUUUUUUUACUCGAUUUUAUUUGCUACUUCUUAAAAUGUAUUAAUUGGAGAAAGGAACAAAAUUAAUGGAGUCUUAAUGAGAUUAAUAACGUGGCGUAACCUCCGGAUUAGGCUUGGGAUUUUAACUUAACCGCGGGGACUCGCUUCGCUUCACCACCAUCCUCCCCGCUCCGCGUUAAAAGGCCGUGCGGGAAGAAGAGAAAGGGAGGAGGGUGGACGCGAGUUGUAAAGAUCUCUCUCGCGCCUUGGUUCUCUUGCUUCCCUUCUUCCGCAGCAGCAUAUAAUGGUGGGAUCUUGGCCUGCUGCCUUUUAUCCGUGGCUUCGAUCAUGAGGGGGAUCUCGUAGGCCGUGAUGACGAGCUAGAUCUGGCGGCUCGGAGGUGGUCUAGAGCUGUCGCGUCGGAUCCGCCCGGUUCCAGAUGGUAUGGAUACAGAGUCUGGUGAAUGAGCUUUUACCUUGGAUUUGUGUGUUUUUAGCUGCAAAAAUAUUUCUGUCUUCCCUGUUGUGAGGUAUGGGUUGGACCAUGAUGUUGUUUCUGAUAUGGGCUGUAAUUGGGAACCUGUGGGGUCGAAUUGAGAUCUAGACAUGGGGAUUGGCGAGUUUGAUCGCCGAAAGUUUCGACCUUCGGCUUGCUAAUCUGACAUUGCUGGUUCCUCUGCCUUCUUAUGGUUCUACGGAAACCUAAUUGUUCCUUUUGUCUCACACUACGGAAGAGAGAAUACCGUUUGGGUUUUAAUAUUUUGACCGAACUAUUUCAUGCUGUAGCACAAAUUUGGAUUCGCAAAAUAUCGUCGCGUCGAAUGCUUUCUGCUCAUUUUUGGAGCUACUUCCAGUUCUUGUAAAAAGUAAGGGUUUUGCCGUCCCUCCACUUCCUAAACAAAAGUGAAGAGUGUCCUGAACUGAACUGCAAAACCGGUCGGAAAGAAUCAGUUCUGGACUCAGCUAAGGGGAUUUCAAGUAAAUGUAUAUGUGAAAUCAAGACUUUGGUUCUAGUUAUUCUAAUGUAUGUUGCAUAUGCUGCUACUGUCGCAGUGAUGCCUGAAAAUUAUCAUACUUAUGCAUCUGUUUCAUGAACCCAUGAUAGAUGUACAUGCCAAUCUUCCGAGAUGAUGGCAGUUUUGCUUGCUGUGAUUACAUGCCUUUUAAAGAUUAUGUUUAGCUUCAGAAGUUUCAUUAUUACGGAGCUUUGUCGCACUGGUGUGCUACUGUUUAGUCAUUUUAACCUAUAAAAUAGUCACUGCUUGUGUGAUGAAGGCUUGUAGUUGCCUACUGUCAUUCUGACAGUUUCUUGCUUCAAAAUUAUAAUGUUAGAAUCUUUAAGAUAGAUGAUACAUUGCUGCAGUAACCUUUACUUUUCUUACUUGUGCCAGUACAUUCGGCCUUAGUUUUUGGUUUUGUCAAAAUUAUGUUUAUCUAAUAGGUCUGCUUUUAACUUCAUUUUCAUAAAGUAUCCGGUGGUCCUUAAAUAUUUGCUAUAUUUUCUUAAAUUUAACAUCAUAGGAUAUAAUUGUUUAUUCUUUUACAUUUUAGUUCAUUGGUGCUAUUGACCUUCUUACAUUUCUUUUGGAUUUUUCAGAAAGCUAAGUUAACCAGACAAUUUUUUCAGCCUUCACCAUUCAGAAUGCUUUACUUCAUCACCUGUUGUCCCCCUGAUUAUGAGUCAAAAUUUGUAUACUUUUCACAGAACUACAAAUGCUUGUGAUUGGUGGUUCUAUUCUAACAUUGUUCUAUGUAACUAUGCCUAGACUAGUCUUCUAGAACUACUUUCUAGAUCCCUCUCAUUUUGCUUGCUUCUUAAUUUGUUUUCUUUUGAUGAUCCAGGAGACUGUCGAAAUGGAAAAGUGCCCAAUGAGACUUAAUACAACAAACCAAUUAUGUCAAGAUCCUAUGUCUGAAAAGAAGUCGAGGUUUUGGCAAAUCAAUGACCAACCAUUUCCUAGAUCUGAAGUUAUCUGUCCUCAACCUCGUUGGGUAACUAGGGUUCCUUAUUUCAUGGAAUAUUGCAAUAGAGUCGGUCCCAAUCCAAAAGGGUAUGUUUUUUUCUAAUUAUUUAGAAACAUUAAUUCCUUUCAUUUUCUUACCUGUAACAAGUUAACCGAGUUCCUCACUGAUAGCCCCAUAGGACAAGUUAAUUUGGUAAUGACAUCCAACAAGCAAAUUCUUUUUGGAUGACAAUAUGCUUUCAGUUCUGUGCCAAUCAAUUAUAUGCUUUGCGUCUGGAGUUUAACAGCAUUUUGGUAGCAUAAGAUGGAUAGUUUGGUACCCAUUUUCUCAUGCAAUAAUGAACCUUUUUAACCACUGUUAUUAUCUCUGCAGCGGAAAUGUUUAAAAUCAUCAAUUAUUUUUCUUUAUGGCAUCACUUUAUCACUUACUCCGAAUUAUUAUUGUUUUCCAGCAUUCUGCAAAUUCAUAGAGUGGAUUAUGCUUCUGAAACUCUUGAUCUUCUCCAAAGAAGGGUAAUGGUUUACAUUUGCAAUGUGAAUACGUAUUUUGGGAGAAAGUUUGUUUUUCAUUUAUCCUCUUUUAUGGUCCUAGUGACAAGUUUGUUGCUUAUUAGGAAUGCUCUGAGGGUGAUGGAGACUUGGGCAGCCAGGUGGGCCUUUUGUGUGGAUCACCUCCUGCACGCACUAACAAUCCCGUAGUCCGAGAUGCAGAGUUUGGCAAACAUAGCCAGUUCUUACCUUCCCCAAUUGGAGUCUCCCUCAGCAAGAAGCAGGCAGGGAGAGUCGAAAAAGGGUCUCCAAGCUGUGGUUCUUCCCCGGAAGUAAGAAUUGAAGGCUUUGCUUGUGGCAACUCAGAAUCCCACUGUGCUGUCCCUGCUCUUGCUUGACCUCUUCACAACUCAACCCGAUCUCGCCGUCUGUGAUAAUGUAUUGACCCUGCUUAAUCAUCAGUCUCUAGGAGAGUUUUGGUCCUGUACAUACCUGAGGUUUCUGUGUAUAUUUCCGACCUUAAAAGUAGUAUCUUGGAUGCUGGUGUCAGAUCCAAAGUUGUAAGUAAACCUUCUGAUAUUAUCCGAGUGUGAAUCUUACGAAGUCAACCGAUAAUUCUUCUCCUGAACAAACAUUUGUGAUUCAUAAUGAAUGAUUAGUUGUUGUGUCCUGAACUGGUAAACUUAUGAUCUGAUGAUAGGGACUGCGGAACAAUUAAGGUCUUAAAGCUGCUUUUGCAGCUUUGCCAUCCUUCAACUUGUGGCCACAUAUGGUAGCAGAUAUGAAGAGGGCUGUCAUGGUCACCAUUGAUACUGUCAUUUCCAUUGUCAUGAUUACAAUGCACUCACUAUUCUUUGUACCAUUGCAAAACAAGGUCACAAAAAAAGGAACAGGAUAGAUAAGAUUGGAUUGUAUCAGUCACUAGGAUGAACAAAUUACUCUUCAUCGAAUGGAAUCCAUCUAAAUUUGCUGUAACGAACGUAACGGUGAUUGAGGAUGGUGGGGCCAGAUGUGAUUUCCCCCGUCUUAAAGAGCCACGUGAGAUGGUGGUGAACGCCGAUCGUACGGUAUGGGUGACCGUAACGCGUAUGAAGGUGUUAAAGUAAGCGACUCCGCCCGACAAUCGUCCCCAAACCUUGGUUCCUCCCCGCAUGCAGAGAUGCUUUGCGGGGUCCACCGCUUCUGUGGCCUUACGUGUCACUGGGUGUCUGGGCGAGAAAGUUGUGGGUGCCGAAGAAAAAGGAACGUGAAACUUUGUACCACCAACGUGGACCGGUGGGAACGAACGAAGACCAUUCAGAGAUUAAGACGAUGAGAUACGCCUUAAAGACACUCUCAGGAGUCUCCCCCGAGAAACCACCCGAGAGAAGACACCGAUGCUGAUGAGGUCAUCAGCCACGGCUGCGAGAGCGUUCAGACGUGGCUUUCGUCUUUUUGGGAUCCGAACGCCUUAUUUGUCAUUCUUCGAAAUAAAUAAAAGUUGUAAUGAUACGAAAGCGAAAAAAGUACUAAUCGAACAAUGGCUUAACAGUUGUCAUAUCCGAGACAGAGUUCAGCAUUUUUAUCCACCAGAAAAAUAGAAUCAGCGUGCGAUCUCUUUCCAUCUGUGGGUCCCUUCAGUUGCAUGAUGGGGAAAUAUUGGAUCUUGUCGUUGUGCCACAACAGAAGAUCCUCACCAGGCGGGAAAGGACUCGGGGAACUCACGAAUUGGCCAAUAUAAAAAGUAGCCUCGGCGAAUGGCUUCUUAUUCUUUGUUAUUUUUGUGACGUUCGACUACCGGGGGAAAGCGAUCGGUGAUCUGCGCCCCUAAUUUUGCAGAUCUUCUCGCCUUUUCCUCGUCCUCCUCCGUCGCAAGAAAAGUUUCAAGGGUUCAUCUUCUUCUCCUGUUCGUCUCGAAUCGAUCGGUUCGUUCUUCUUGGGCCUCGGCUACGGCCGGAGGGGGAUUCCGCGACCAUUCCCGCGAGGUAAAGCCCCCGGAAAAUGACUCAUCCUUGGUCAAUGCUUCAAGAUCCGGUGCGAUCUAUACAUUCUUGUUUCAAUCGCUGACUCUAGAUUAUGGAUCUGGCUACUAAGCAUUUCCGCUUCGGUGCGGAUGAGGUAGAUAGGAUCCUAAUUUAUCGUCAAUUCAUGCGUUUGUUUGUCUGUCAGAUCUGGUGCUCGUGAUCGUAUCUUGAGCUGGAAGAUUACGUGACAGCAAAUAAGGUUCUCGAACGAUUUUCCUUUUCUUUCUCUUUUUCUUUUAUUUUGUUAAAGAAUCUCUUUGGGAAUAUAAUGUGUUUUUGUUUCUUCUUAGCCCAUGAAUUUUCUCAACACUAUCUGUAUCUUAUCAUUAUAAUUUGGAGCUUAUUUAUGCUGGGCGAUGGGUUUUCUACUCCCCGUCCUAUCGGAUGAUCGCUAAUCGCAGCUCCGUCAUCCAAUCUCGUGAAUUUAGGCUUGAUAGUUGGACAAGACAAAUGUCGUGGACUUUGUGCCUUCUUUCAAGGGAAUUAUGGUAUAGAAGACAAAGAGGAGGCUGGAAAAAGAAACUGUUGGUGUGUACCUACCAUGAGGAUUAACAUCUAAAAUAUGUUGCUUAUUCAGGGUUUAGAGAAUUUCUUUUAACAAAAGCUUGCAAUUGUUUGCUGAAGGGGAAAUUCAAUAGUAUAUGGGCUGCCUACAUUGUUCCUCCUCGUAACCCUACCUGUAGCAUCAUGCACCUAUUGCCUUUUUUUAUUGGAGAUAUUGCUAGCAAGGCAUAUCAGAAUUAUUAUCAAAGUCACUGGCUUACAAGGCGUGAUUCAUAAUGUACAGCAGUCAUACAUUAAAAGGCUAGUUAUGGAAGAACAAUGUACGGCAGGUGUGGUUUUUUUUUUUUCUAUGGAAUGGAAUUGGUAAAUUUUUGAAGUAUGGUCAUUUGUCUUAGAUAUAGGCAGACCUACUGUACCAUCGGGAAGUGGGAACCACAUAGACUUCUUGGAACACUUAGAAAACUUCAUUUUUUAUUGACCAGCGAAGUUCUCGGAGCUUUUCUUGACCACAUACCGUAUGAAGGCAUUACUUGGAAGUAUUUUUGCUGGAUUUUCAAUAAGACGGAGCAAACACUGCUUUAUCUGAAUCAUAGUUAUUAUCUGAGCCAUGCCCUUAAUUUCUAUCUUUGCAAUAUCAAUUUUCACAGUUCUGAGAUUCUAUGGAGAUAGUUGUUUUAACAAACUGGAGAGCAAUUGCUACGUGGCAAGCUGAGCAUUAAAAAAUUGCUAUAUUUAUCUAAACAGGAGAAUGAUUGCUAAAGAGUUAUGUGGCUCUAAUGCUAAUCACUCCCUGGGGAUUUUAAUAAAUAGAAAAGGAGUCUUGGAUAGCAGGGUUAAGGCAUUUAAAUAUUAUAGGAAACAUUUCAACUUUGCCUUUGGGAACAAGCUGUUGAACCUAGCCAUAUGUUUCUAAGUUGAACUUAUUCUAUAUCUUUUGUAUGUCAUUUGUUGUUACUGAAGUAUGGAAGAUAUGGCGGCUUUUUCUAAGAUAAAUAAGAUUCCAGUAAAUCAUAAACUAAUUUACUUUGUAGUCUUUUUGUUCUUUUUCUUAGUUACUUCUUUCAACCUGAAUUGUUGAUAUCAUAAUCUGAAAUGUUCAAGUCGAUAUUGUCCAUCAAUUUGUUAUGGAUUAUGUAUUUGGCAAAUUUUCUUAAAAUAAAUAUUAAAUGUUAUGCAGGUUGUGGAGUGGCAUAGCAUGUUUAAGCAAGAACCUUGAUAUUGCCAUCACAUGUUAUCUUUUCACAUUAUUUGUUCUUUCCAAUCAUUGGAUGUCUUUGUUAUUAUUCUCUGGCUAAUCUAAUAAUCUGAUGUUAUCCUUGACCCUUCUAGUGAUCAACUUAUACGCACUGCAUUCGUGGAUAACUUUGAUAUUUUCAGGAGUGCAGAACUUGAUUCAAUCAUUUCUACUGUAUAAAGAGUUUGCAUAUGCACUAUGGGCUUUGCCUACAGUUCGAGAAGACCUGAACGCCAAUGACUAAAACAAUGAUGUGCAAGAGUCGAUCUUCAAAAAAGUCUUGAACUGAUUUAUCUCGCUAUAGAAGAGCUCCUCAUCAUCAUUGAUCCAUGGGGGAGUGGAUUAUUGGAGCAUUUAUUAAUAUAAUUGGGAGUAUUACUAUAAACUUUGGGACUAACCUUCUAAAAUUGGGUCAUGAUCAGGUAUUUUUGUGUUACAUGUUCAUGCUUUCCUGUAACUUUACCAUUUCCUGUUAUUGUUUGCUCCAGUGUGAAAAUCCGCAGUCUUUUUCUCCUGUCAUAGCUUGUUGCGAAUAAAUACUGUACUACAUAGACUGUUACUUAAUGUACUAACAUGCCAAUUUUCUUCCUGUGGUGUGUGUCUCUGUGUUUGCAGCGAGAGAAGCAUUAUAUGCCUAGCUGUGAUGGAACCAAUAGCAAAGUUAAUGUGAAAUCAAUUAUACAUUUCCAGACCUGGAGAAUUGGUGAUACUUUACAUUGUGAUAUCUUCUAUUUUGAAAAAAUUAUAUUUUAGCUGAUCUAAUGGUGUACCUUCUAAUGCAGGCAUUCUUUUGUUUGUUUUCGGGAACUGCCUCAACUUUGUUUCCUUUGCAUAUGCUGCACAGGUCAAGUUAAAUAUUUUGGUUUUGUUCAUGAGUUACUGAUGGAAUAUAUCAUCUAGUAUAAAAUGUUAAUCUUGAUAUAAUGUGCCUUUCAUGGGCUUUCACUACUCAAAUCUGGAUUCGGCAAGAGCAUUAUUCACAAACAUGUAUGUUACUGUUGUAAAUGUGAUGUACACUGUUUUUUUGUUGGCAUUUUGUCCACGAUGAUAGUGAUGGGAAGUAGAAAUUUGUGUCACCCAGGAUUUGAAUGUAUUCUUGGAUUAAUCCAUUUAUCUCUUCAAGAAUUCUUUGAUUCUUAAUGUAUUGGCUAUGUUCACAAUGAUUCAGGGCAUUAAGUGCUCUUGAUUGGCUAGUCAAUGACUACCUACCUAUUAGAUCAAAGUUUAAGUUCUUAAGGCUUUACGUAUCACCAUCGUGUUAAGAAAUUUGUGGGUAAUUCACGGUCCAAAAUUUAGGGAUGGUUCACAGGGUGGGAAAUGCUUUUAAAAUUUGGUUUUUAUUUUUGAGGAUUGUAUAAUCAUGACCAGUUCGAUUAGUUUUUUCCCUGACUAGGCUAUUUUGUGUUUUGCGAUUGCAGUCACUUCUUGCAGCAUUGGGAUCAAUUCAGUUCAUAUCUAAUAUUGCAUUUGCUUACUUUGUGCUCAGUAAGACAGUGUCAGUCAAGUAAGUCAUUUCAGAAUUGACAUUGUUUUAAAAAGGACAUAUGCUUAAUGCAGAAAUAUGAUUUCAUAUGACAACUUGUUUUGCAGGGUCAUGGUAGCAACAACUUUUAUUGUUUUUGGCAACAUUUUCUUAGUGUCUUUUGGAAACCACCAGUCACCUGGUAUUAACAUCAACCUAAUUGAGGGAAGGAAUAGUUAAUAAUCAACUAAAUGAUAUUUCUUUUUUCAUUGCAGUAUAUACACCAGAGGAGUUGAUUGCAAAAUACAGCAGCAUGGUUUUUCUUCUCUAUUGCUUGACUUUGUUAUUGAUAGUUGGUGUUAACCAGUACUUUUACAGGUGAGCAGACUAAUAGUUUCUAAAAUUGUUAGCACGUCGAGCCAGCUUAUUUUUGGGUGUUAGAAGCCAGCCUCCUUGUUUGUCUUAUCCUUGUCAUCCAAUCCCUCUGCAACAAAUUAUAGUUAUCCUAAUUACUAUAACAAUCAGGACAGGAGAAGCAUAUCUUUCAGUUUCUGAUCCAGUGAGUUCCUAUUGGCGGACUUUGCUUCCAUUUUCUUAUGCCACUGUUUCUGGUGCUGUGGGUUCUUGCUCAGUGUUAUUUGCAAAAUCCUUGUAAGUUGGCAUCUUAAGAAUUUCAUUCCUUGUUUCUGCAAGAUAAGCUGCAAUAUUUUUUAAUUGAUCUCUAUGCAUACUUUUGAUUUCUUCUAUUUAUAUAUUUGAUGUGUACACUUUCCAGAUCUAAUAUGCUAAGACUGACCAUGAGCAGCAACUAUCAGUUCCAUAGCUGGUUUACAUAUUGUAUGCUGUUGUUGUUCUUUAGCACGGCAGGAUUUUGGGUAAUGAUGUCAACAAAGCCCCAAGUAAACUGUACCUUGAGACUUCCUUACUCUGAGAUGUCUGAUAUAGCUUUUCUUAAAUUCCAGAUGGCAAGACUGAAUGAAGGGUUGUCUCUUUUCGAUGCAAUCCUCAUUGUUCCCAUGUUUCAGAUUGCAUGGACCUUCUUCUCUAUCUUUACAGGAUUUGUGUAUUUUCAAGAAUAUCAAGUGAGCCUUAUCCAUAGAAAUCUAUGUGUAUAUAUAUAUAUAUAUAUAUAUAUAUUCAUUAAAUGAAGCUAACUUAAGUGCUUUAACAGGUAUUUAACACAUUAAGAAUAACUAUGUUUGUAGUGGGGAUGACAUUUGUAUUUAUUGGCAUUUCUUUAUUAGCACCUGAUGAUUCUAAAGGUACCUACAGAUCGUUAAUGGUUCUUCUUUUUAUGCAUCAUUAAUGUUAACUAAAGUAAUUUUGCCAACAACUUUUAGGAAGUGAAACAAAGGAUUCUUCUUUGCCUUCUUCAGCUCAAGACCUUCCAACUGAUAUGAACAGGUACUUGCCAUCCCCUCUCUAUCUUGUUGCUUGUCAUAAAAUUGAUGUUCCAUUAACUGUACGAUAUUAAAUAUUAAUUUGUACAUUACUUCAAAUUACAUGUUGGCUUUCUCUGGAUUCACACGUUUCAUAUAUUGAGAUGAUUUCCAUUUGAAGUUAUUAAGCAAUUAUGGUGAUGUAUAUAAUCUACUCUAGCUGAUAUAUAGUGUUGAUAGCUGGAACUGCAGGGGCGCCAUGCUACUACCAUUAGAAGAUCCUGAAAUAAGUGAUGUGAGGUCACUUGCACAAGCAGUGCUUACUAAAGUGAAGUUUAUUCUGUUGAAGGCAAAGGUACUUUGGCUUUGUAAAUUUUCUUUUGAGAAAACAAUGAGACGGUAUUAUUACUAUAUAAGAUAUUUUGUUAGCAUUUUCUAAUGUUCCUCUUGCAGGCUGCUGGUUCUCUCUCACUCGGUCUUGGUGAGGAGUCAAUUAGCGCAUCUUCGGUACUUGUAAUGCCUAUGGUGUCUUCAAGAACAACAGGUUUCAGAGGAACUAAUUAUGAUCGAGCAAAGUUCAUUCCUCUUAGAAACACAGAAUGGGGUAAACUUUCAAUAGAUGAUAACGAUCCAGAAACGAGGGACACGAGGACUUUGCUGCCUUAAUUUUGCCGGUGUGGGGGGACCGGUGGAAGCGAAUCUUGUUGUUCCUUGAAAUGUUUCUUUCAUUAUCUCCUUGUAACAUGAAUGUAUAGAUAUAUUAAUCUUCCCCCUUUUAACUGUCUAGUGUGUAACGAGAAUGAUCUGUGGUCGGAUACUGUUUCAAAAUGUGUUGUGCCCAAUUUGGCAUUCAGAUUCAUAUGCUGAUUUAACAGAACUGUGGCUUUUCUUCUCUGAACUGCCUAAAAAGUCAAAUCGAUAGAUUGGUCAGAUGAGGUUGAGCACCAUCCAAAUUUAUUCUUUAAGCGCCAUACCACUACUGCUAGAAUUACUCGUGUGCUUCUUUUAUUCUGUAUUGUUUGUACUAAAAUACUUCAUGGCUGCUAUGUACGUAACUGUGCAGGCGCGAUAUGUGAUUUUGCUUAAUCUCUAUCUCCAAGUGCUUGAUCGUUAGAAAUGGCUUGUCAACAAGUAGGCAAAAUUACUGUAUAUCAUAAGAUUAAUAUUCCAUGCGAAAUAUGAAGAAUCCAGUAAGAUAAUUUAAACUAAUAUUUACUAUCAUACAUAAUGCGGAGAUUUAAGAAAAUUAUGGACGAUAUAGGCAGAUAUUUAUCAUCAUAUAAAAGGCACGGAGAAAAAGCAAUAGCAAUAAAGGCUACCUCAGAGACAUUACAAUCAUCAGUGCACUCAAAGAGCGCAAAGAAACGUUGCAAAGGAAAAAGAUGGAUCAGAUAUUUCGGUCUGUGGAUGACCACCAAAGCAACCAAAUAAUUCAAAAGAACCUACUAUUACAACUGUCCUUUGCGGCAAACGACGACGACUCCUCCACGCCUUGGUUUCUUUCACAUGCCAUGGUUGCUUUCUUCCACUUUUUUUCCUGCUUUUUUGAGCUUUCACUUUCCUGGUUGCUCACUUCACUACUUAGCUAUUAAGUUUUCUUUCUUUAGUCUCAGUCAAGUGCAUAGACGUUGCCUCGAUCCUCUAUAAAAACCCAUGUCAUCCCUCGAGACAAAGCCCAUGCAAAAACAGUCACUUGCGACACUCUCUAAUGUUUCCUUCCCUUGGUUCUUAUUCCAAACGCUACUACUCUCUUCUUCCUCCCCACGUCUUCCACUUAUUCUGAUCCGUUUACAAACACAACGUUCAGCACUUCAUUUCCUUUCAGAUCUCUUUCCCUCUCUCUCUCUCUCUUGAUCAGCAUUUCAUGCACUUCCCAACUGUUCUUUGAUCCGCGACUAUCUUCAGUUCUUUACCACCUCAAAGAUGAAGUUCCGGGCUUCUUCCUCCUUUUUGAAGCAGAUGUGCUCCGCGGUUGUGGCCAUGGUGAAGGCCAAGUCGAUGGCGGUGAAGAGCAAAACCAGUGCCUUGAGGACCAGGCUCCUGGUCCUGAGAAUCCUUCAGAACAAGAAGCUCCUCAUGAAGGCAAUCAACCACAAGAUCCAUGCGCUGAUGGGCCAAGAGAAAGGUGAAGGAGGUGCCCAUUCUGCCGAGGAUCACGACAAGGCGAUCGUGCUCUACGAUGCUGCGAAGAAUGCAGCCCUGACGAACCCAACCGACAAGGAACCGAUGUACUGUUAUGACGACGACGACGACGACGACGACUAUCCAGAUCUGAGGCACUCACUCUUUGACUUGGAAGAAGAAGAAGAAGAUGAUGACGAGCUUGGGAACACCACCGGAUCCGUCAUUGAUCUCGUCAAGAACUCCAAGGAGGAUGGUUCUGAGUUCAGGCUGGAGGACGAGAUCGACCACGCAGCAGACGUAUUCAUCAAGAGGUUUCACAGGCAGAUGAGGUUGCAGAAGCUGGAAUCCUUCAAAAGGUAUCAAGAGAUGCUGCUGAGGAGCGUGUAGGAGCCACAGACAAAGGUAUCAAUCAAUCAUAAUGGCUCGUGGUUCUGCUGAUCCUAUCGAGUGUCGAAAAUAAUGCUCGGCCAUUACCAUAUGGGUGGCAUCAUCCUUCGGUCACUUACAUCGGACCUAAUAAGCUCUAAUAUUAUAUGCAGGUGGCACUCAUUUUUCCACAUAAUUAAAAUAUAACAUAUAUAUAUGGCAUCUAUUCCACAAAUGAAACUGUGCUGGAAGAAUAAUGCACUGAUGCAGGAGUCCAGAAAUCAGCAAGUGUGUCUCUGCAGUUUGAUUUGAUGAUGUGUGAAAGAUUAAAUGCCUUUACUUGUGGCCCAUAAGCCCGCUAAGGAAUUCAUUGGGUUGAAGCAUAGUUGGAUGAUAGGUUGAACGGCUAAGCGAGAAACUUCGAACAUCAAAUCCAACGGUGAAAACAUCCAACCGACCAGCACGGAAGAGCUUUCUUUCGAGGAUAAAGAUUCUUUCGAUCCUAAUAAUAUAUAGUUAGGGCGGGCUUAGGACACCAUUCAUCUUAAUUUACAAUGUACAAGACAGAAGAGAUUGCUGCUCUACUACCGAACUAAUUGGAUCUCUUCCUUCUUCUUCUUCUUCGUCGUCGUCGUCGUCGUCUUUCUCCUCCUGAAGCCACCGAAUGGCCCGACUACUCUCCGCCUCUCCGACUCCGUUAUCGCCUCCAGCUUCGGCCUCCACCGCCUCGACCUGCACCUCACCAACGUCCUGUACUCCUUCUCCAACGCCUCCGUGGAGACAACUUUGCUGCUACCGCGGCAGAUCUCUUCCUCCCGGACUCUCUCUCUGAGGAACUCGUCGGAGACCCUGAUCUGAAGCGUCCCCGAGGCCGUCUUGUGGAUGUCGAAUGGCCUGAGGAGGGCUGUCUUCCUCGCCGCGACGCCGGCGUUGGGGCCGAUGAGGGAGGUGGCGAGGGUGACGAAGGAGAGGACGGAGCGGAAGAAGUGGGCGGGGAGGAGGAAGUAGGAGUGGCCAGGCUGGAGCUGGUCGCCGGCGGCUAGCGGUGGGACCUUCUGACCGAUGAAGAAGGCGUCGGAGCGGCAGACGAGGUGGCAGGGGUGCUCCUUCAUGAGCUCUGCCGCCGCAACUGGCCGGUGGUACACCCUGACCCGGCCGUCGCAGCCGAUGAGCCUGAUCCCCGUUGCCUGCGCCGCAGGGGACGGGCUGGUCCGACUGCCGGCCACCACGUGGAAGCACCAUGGAAUCAUCUGCAGACCGAGAGACUUGAGUCCCAUCUAUGCUGCGACGAUCCCACUCCUCAUAUGUACACCGCACGCACGACUCGUCUAUGCUCGACGGAGUCGGAGAACAAAAGGUGCGUAAGAGAAGCACUCGAGAGUGAGAGAAAGGCGUGAUGGGUGGAGUCGAAAGAGGGUGAUAAGGGAUGAGAUCAGAGGCGAGAAGGCAUGUGGGGGGUGGAGGAUUUAUAUAAUGGAUGCGAGUAUGACCAGCGUAGGGUUCAAACAAAAAGCGAAGGCUGUACUCUGGCGAUGGCAGAAUAGUCUGUGAGGCAUUGGCAUCUUUGGUUUUUCUUUUUUGUUUGGGCUGCUGGGGAUGAGAGGAGAAGCGUGAGAUGUGGGAAGAGCUCUUUUAUUUUAUGUCCAGCAGCAGACGACUGGCAUCUCUGUCCAACUAUUGAGCCAUCUCUCUCUCUCUCUCUCUCUUUCCUGUUCCUCUUCUCUUUUGCACAGUAGUUUUUUGUUCUGUAGGACCUCUCGUUCUGGUUUGGUGGCAGGUUGACACAUUGACUGACUUCUCUCUCUCUCUCUCUCCUCUUUCUACCUCCGCCGUUCGAUUUGUGAUCUUAUAUCUGGGACACAUCGUUGGAUGAGACAAGAUGUGAAUCUCUAGAAACCCAUCACACACACACACACACACACACUCUCUCUCUCUCUCUCUUUUACUUUUUCUAUGACGCCGGUUGAGGCCGGGAAUUUAGUAGUUGCAACUCCACUGUCUCUAUCCACGUGCCGAAGACUGCGUGGUCAGAGGAGAAUGGACUCGGUCAACGUGAGAGUGAUAAAGACUCCGCUGUUGUCUCUCGAAUUUGGUUUGGCCGUGUCAAACCAUGCGAGUAGACUUAGACUCACGUUUCCGAAUGGAAUCGUCGAUUCCAAUCCACCGAUUUUUUUUAUUAUUUUAAAAUUAAAAAUAAUUUAAAUUUAAAAAUCAUAUAUAUAUAUAAAUAAAUAUAUAAAUAAUCGUGAGUCAUCGAUUUCGAUUUUGAUUUUUAAAAAUCAAGAAUCAUAAUCAAACCAUCUAGGUUUGAUUUUGAUUCGAUUUAGAAUUAGCAAAUCACAUUCAAUUUGGAAUUAGUGAAUCAUCCUAACAAUUCGAUUUCUAUUUUAAUUUUGAUUUGGUUUUGGUUCUAACUCGAUUUAUAUACAUCAUUUUCUUUUUGUGAUAGGUAUUUUUGUCCACUUACAUAUCCAAAUGGUACAACAUUUGACCACAAGUUUGGUUUUGGUACUGACGAUUCAGUAUAUAUUUUUAAAUAAAAAAUAAAAAAAUUAUAUAUUUUUUUAAUUAUGAAUCAUCGGUUCAGUAAUCGUCGAUUUCGAUUCUCAAAAAUUAAAAAUCAUAAUCGAACCAUCAUAAUUAAAAAUUUAAUUUAGAAUUAGCGAAUCACAUCGAUUGAUUUUUUAUUUUUGAUUUUAACUUAAUUUAAUUUUAAUUCUAUCAUUUUUAUUUUCUUAGACUGAAUGUGAUUAUAUAUUUAUGGUGUGUUUGGUCCACUUGCACGUCCGAAUGGCACACAACAUCUGACCACGAGUUCGGUUCAGCUUGGAGCUGUCGAUUCUUAAUGGCGGAUCAGAUGAAGACGAUGGUUCGAUUCAGAAAGCGGGAUUUGACCGGUUGUCAUCACAUCGCCCAAAGUCCAAGAUAGAAUAAUCCCCAGAGGAGAAGCCUUGGAAAGAAAAUUACCACGACACAUCGACACAAAGUCCCAAAACCCCGAAGCGUUCAAAGCUUCAGAGGCAAACGGCAUCUUUGGGGAACCCAUUCCCAGUCUCUCCACUUGAAUAGUCUUUUGUGCCUGCUUUGGUCCGAUGGGAGGGUGGCAACAACGGCAGGUCUCUGCGUCGCACCCUUACCCAUGCACGCAUUGGUAUGGGUGAAACAGGCACGCAAAGAGGGGCAGAAAAGAGAGAGGGGCGAGGGUGCGUGGUGUGGAGGAGUUGCAGGAAUGUACUCCUGGGACUCGUAUACGUGCGGGGGAGUACGUGCGAAGUUGCGAAUCUUUGCAGCAGACCGGACUCGCUCGCUUGGUCGUGGACGGCACACACGUCGCUUCAUUCUUCUGCUGUACCUGCACAUUAAACUAAUGGCGCUUCCAACCACCAACGACAUCGGAAUCGAAUCGGUCAAAAAUUGAAAUCAGAACCGAUCAAUGAUUUCACGGUUUUGGUUCGAUUCAACUCAUUAUAGACUAAUUAAAUAUUAAAAUUAAAUAUUAAUAAAAAAAUCUUUAAAUAAAUGACAGUGUCGAUUUGAAACCUUAAUCGGCAAUUUCAUAAUCAGAACCAUAAUCAUCUAAAAUUAAUAUGGUUUCGAUUAUUCGAUUUUUAAUGAUGAACAUGUACGAAGAUCAAGAUCGAUGCUUAAGUUAGUAACCGACAGAUAUGACAUAAUUUUAAUAAAUAAUAAUUGAUCUCAAUUAUUAUAUCAAAUCAAAGUAUAAUGGGUUAGUUGGGAAAAAUAUUCUAUGAUAUAAACAAAAUAUUCUACUGUCUUUGUCUCAUCAUUUUUGUAAUAUUCUCAGAUCAUUAUUUUGGACUGACUUGUUAAUUUUAAAUAAUCAAAAUAUUCCUCUUAUUUUGGGUUUACAUACAUGAGACCUGACCUGAUCAUUGAUCAGAGUGCAUAUUAUCCGAGUUGCCAAAAAGAGAAGAAUCAGACAAUACCAAUUUAUGAAACCAUCAUGAAUCAGUGCUUGUUCUAUGUAUUACAACGCCAAAUAGUAAUAUAGUUUUUCUACUGGACAAAAAUGUUCAAGUAAUAUGCAAGACAAGGGAAUCUGCAUCGUCGUAAAACAAACAUGACAUUCUACAACAUUGAAGAUUUCAAACAAGAAGCUUUCUGUAGCUCCAGAGAAAUUAUUCCCGGCGGCAGUCGUAAUCGUAAAGAACAUGAACAAGGUUGACGUGAAAAGUCACAAAUAUAGAUCGAACGAAAAGUUCCUGCUUUCCACAAAGUAAAAUGAAAACAAGAUAAGGUGAGUUUUAAUUAAAUCUACGGGCACAUACAAGCUUGGUUUCCAAAUAGAGAUAAGUUAUGGGUGAUACCUUAUUUAAAGCUAGGGGUGGAAAAAUGACUUCUUCAAGUCUUGGGAUAAAAAGGAAAACAAAAUCCAAAGUGAGAAAUAUAGAGGUAUAAAUGGCUACUCAAAGCGAACUAUGAACUACAAACUCUCUCCCUAUAUCUCGGAACCUUAUUUUUACCCUCGCUCGCAUCAGUUCUCUCAUCGACGGCCUCCAGCUUUCCUUGGAGGUGGUGGCGCUAACUCCUCGUCAUCAGAUUGGACAUCACCAUAUUGCCAAAUCUUCAGCCUCUCUCGUUUUGCUUUAGCUUGAAACUCUUCCAAACCAUCAAGAGCUGCCUUGCGUUCUCUAGUGUCCCAUUUCUUCUUUCGAUCUAGUCUAGCAAGCCCUUCCUGUGUUCGUACAAUUCAACAGAUCAGAAACAGGAUACUAACAAAACUCGAGCUGAAUGUGCAUGAUAUAAUAGAAUUUUGAAGUAAUCAAGAACAAACAGGUCGAAUAUCAAGCACAAACAAGGAUCAUCGGAUCAGAACAAGCCAGUAGGAUGAGAUAAAGUCCUAUAUGUUCGGUUUCAAUUUGUAAAAAGCAAUAAAUAAACAUGGAUGUCUUUUGGAGUCAAGUAGGAGAAUUUAUAUAUCUAGAAGAGGGGGAGGGGAGUGCAAAUGCAAAUUGCAUUUCUAGUCAUUUGUUGCUUCCGCUGUAGAAACUUGGUUAGCGACAUAGCACCGCCGACCAGGCCUUGGCGUACUGGUUGGUUUGCAUCAUCUUGAAGAGAUUCUAUGCUUGUGGAGGUGAUGGCGCCCAAGUAUUUUUUAGACAAGGGACCAUCCAGUCCAUUAUUCUCUAGAAAAGGAAGUAAUUCGUGGUACAAAUUAAAAGCCAAGAAGAUAACAUUCCCAUAGAACAAUUGUACAUUGUCAUACAGAACCGUAAAGAAAUCCAAGGAAUUUGCAAUUUCAGUUGCUACCAGACCAAACAUAUCAAAUAAAUGUUCUUCCGUAGACAGCGUCAGAUAAGUACAAGAUCCAAUCCAUGAUUGACACCAACAGAUCAAGUUAAAUUAUUAACCUACAGACUUAUUAAAGGUUGAACUAGUUUCGAUUUCUACUGGAGUUAAUUAAUAAGAUGACUAAAAAUCAAGUUAAUGAAAAAAAUAUAUUCAGAUAAGAUCAGAUGCUCAAACCUGUAGCAUGGCAGCAUUAAUACUAACUUCAGAUCCAACAUCAACGAGAGUCACCACCAACACCGUUCCAGUUCCUUGUCCUCUGGCUUUCCCUCCUGAGGCAUCUCUUUCCUCAAUCAUAGCGCUAAACUCUUUUGUAUUGUUCAAUGUACAUUCGCUCAAAUACUCUGCAGCUUCUUGGCCAAAAUCGUCCUCCAAAUUAGGCACUUUUAUGUAUGCAAGGCUGCAAAGUUGAGCCAGACCAGGUGCUGAUGGUAUUGAAGAAUCGAGAGGUCGUAGGAGACUAUAUGGGACAAUUUCUUGGUUUCCAUAAUCAAUAUAGAAGACUUCAAACGUGUCAUUAUGUGAUUUCGCGGCCCCUCGUGGUCCAUUUACAAUCUGCAUGCGUUGAAGUAAUUACAGAGGCAGACAUCAAGAGACCAAUUAAAAAAUUCUAAUGAAGCACAAUUUUCAUUCACAUACAGUCAAGGACUAGAAUACAGGGUGUGGCACAUGUUUCUAAAAUAAAAGCUUAAUGUUGAACAAUCAAUAUUGCAAACUGCAAAACAAGAGUAUUUACCAUCAGAAGAGCCAAAAAGAUAGAACUGCAAGAACUGACAAGUGCCCGUACUCUUACAUAGAACUGAAGCACUUAAUUAAGAAACUAAACUCAUUUUUGACCUUUACAAAGGAACAUGCUCUUGAUGUAGCUUCCAUUUAAUGUCUCCCUGUAACUUGCUGGUUAGUUUGCUAACAAAAUGGAACAAUGUAAUGUUUAAUAGUUGUGGCAAUGCCAUUACAUACACUGACCAAUGUUGUACACUACAGUGCUCGAGGACAGGUCCUCUUUGAUGGCCUCAUCAUAGAGGUCAAUGAGGGGUUAGCAUAUGACAAUUCUUAUCUUGAUACCCCAAAUCGGCCAUGGGUCUCAGGGAACCUUUUCUGAAGUGCACAACAAAUUUGAAAAUCAGGAUUUCCCUCUGAUCUCAGGUUCUACAGACGCUGAGCCAGGAUAAAAAAACCUAAGUUACAUGGGGUUUUGUAUCUAGCAUCACAGGUACUCUUGUCUUAUCUUUUUUAUCGAUGGAUACAGGUUAUAGGAUGACCUAUGCAAAUUUCACACUGUCCUGUCAUCUUGCUAUUUUGUAUUGCCACCCUGUCCUGUAUCUUGACCCUAGAACUUUUUUGUCGCUACAAGAUAAUAAAAAUGUGAUUGACCAAUCUUAGCAAAGAUGACAACAAUAUUUCACUUAAAACAAAUAACACUACCACGACAAUUAAGUCCGACUAACAAAUAGAUGAAAGAAAUCAUAGCAAUACUUAGGACGUACCAUGGCUCUAUUCCAGGAAUUGUCUACACUGAACUGAGCCAGAACUAUAUCACCCUUUGCAGGAUUAAAAGAACCAAUUACUGGAGCCUCUUUAAUGUUUAAUGCAGCAAGCUGCUGUUGAAUGGCAGCCACCUUUUGAUCACCAACAGGUUGGACAUAAAAUUUUCCACCACCAAGGACUUCUGUAACUACGACCUGCAUUGAUCAACAAGGAAAGAUGUUCAUCUUAUAGGUUAGGUGUCAGAAUAGCAAGCAAGUUAGAUACUGUUUCUUGAAGAUCACCUUGAGCAUUUCUUUCUGUUUUGCUUCAGUAGAGGAACCAUUUGAAACUUCUUGUCCUUCAACAUAAUUUUCCCAGAUCUUGCAAAGGAAAGAUAAAAGUUAUAUACCAUGAUAUACAAAGCUUCAAUAACAAAUAACUCAGCAACCGUAACUUACUUUUAGCUUCUGGUGCUUUGCAGACUGUUCAGCCUGUGCCAGGAGGUGAGCAUCUGGAAUCUUGUCAGAGCCAAAGGAGGUUUGAAGUUUAGCCAAUCCAGCUUCCAAGAGGAUAACAGCCAUAUUGGUCCUUGAUUCCCAUAAGGAGCCUAAGAAUGUCCCAGCCCUAUCAACUGUUUCCACCUCAAUCUGUCCAACAUAACCAUGAGAUCUAUCUUAGUAAUGAAAAUGGUAUGCCUCAAGCUAAAUAAAUGGACAAUUGGCACCGAGAUCUAUCUUAGUAAUGAAAAUGGUAUGCCUCAAGCUAAAUAAAUGGACAAUUGGCACCUCAACAUCCCGUUGCAAUAUCUUCCUUCUCAUCAAAGCAAUAGCUUCAUCUGAAAAAGGCUCCUCCCGACCAGGACACCGAACACCAGAAAAUGAAAAUGCAAUAGUGCAUGUUUCUUUAGGAAUCAGUAACUUAAAUCGAUGACCACUGAGGACAUAUUCAACAACAGCAGCAUGCCUCCUACUCCGUUGCAGAAAAGGAAAGAAAUCUCGUGCCUUUUUUGCAGAUGCCUGUGCAGAUAACAUGAAACUUCUAUUACAUACCAUGACAAACAAAGAUUGUGUCAUGUAAUAAACAAUUAUUCCAUUUCUGACCAUUGUCAAAUCAGUUAUAUGCAUAACUGGAGGAUCCUUGGCAGAAUGAAUCCCUUUCCUUGAAUUAAUCGCACGAGAUUCAGCAGCCAGUAAAGCAUCAUAAUGAUUUGACCUUUCUUCAAAAUCUCGAUGUCUGACUAGAGUGGCAAAACCACGUGAGACAACCAUCUCGGCAACAUUUGUUACUCCUGGUUGGUUAACAGAUGGAGAAGAGGUUUCAUCAUUCUCACUCUUCACAAGGAAGACUGACCCAAAAUCCAUGACUCUAGAAUCAGCUGAACUAGAUACUACUGUACUAGGUCCAUCAGCCACACCAACCUUCCUAGAAUAUUCCAUUGACACAUUUACCUGGCAACAAAUGCAUUAUGAGACUACUAACUUUAUAUAUCUUCUCCAUCCAAUACAUCAAGCAAAUAAGCAUACUUGGUGGCCAAUAAGACGUGUACGUAAGAAUUCCCUGGCCUCACGGGCAUAGGGUACUGGCUUUUCAUCUCGCCGAGGAUUUCCCAUCUUUGGUGCUCUGAUGCUUGAAAGAUUAACUCUACGCUCAGCUAAGGGGCUGCCGUAGGGAACAGCAUCGUCAGCAACAAUUAUGCAGUCUCCACUCACAACCUCUACUACCUAAAGUUGACAAAUCAAUUGCAGACUUCAAGCACAAGAAUGAUAUGUAAUUGGCUUCAAGAAGACCUGGGUAAAAAAACGCAUACUUUUCCUGUAAAAUUUUGGUCGUGAAUUGCCUUCGAAUUUGAAGCUGGAGGCACAUAGUUUGUCCAAAUUCUCAGGCGAUCCUUCUUCGCCUGAAGCUCAGCAGCCUUCAAUUUUCGUUUGGCCUCAUCCUCCAUCAUGUUUGCACUCCAUUCCAGAAAUCUAGCAAAACCCUUUGUAGGAAGGAAAACAAUGUUAGCAUUCAGGACAUAGCUUGUAUUAUAUAACGAGCAUAGAAGUAACUGUUAUCAAAAUGUUCAGAUGUAUGAGUAAAUAUAUUAACGCAGAACUAGAAAAUUCAUACGCAAACAACAGUUACCUUCCUAACCAGACUUUAAAGGAAAUGCCCAAAGCAUCACUCCACAGAAUGACAAGAUUAAAAAAACAAGACAAUGCAUAGAAAAACUGAUAUGAUCAUGGUACCAUCUUUUAUUUGCAGCUUCAACAACAGGUUCUUGCAAAAUGCAAAGAAGUAUGCAUACCAAGUGUAGUUAAAUGCAUAGCAAAGCACAAUGGCUUAUCACCUAAACAAAAUCACUCAGACAGAAAACAAGGCAUAAACCUUGUAUAAGAAUAAGCUGCCUAAAAUGAAUGCCAUUCAGGUGAUGAGACUAGUCUUUGUAUUAUUAUUAAAUUUCUGUUAAGUAUAGGAAAUUCCAAGAAGUGUAAAUGGGUAUGCACACUCCGUUGCCUCUAGAGGCCUCAAUUCCGAGCUUGAAAUCAUCUGGGAAGAUUAUUUGGCCCGGUAUGAUAUCAUUGGUGAGGGUUGACAAUAUCAACAGUGGAAUUGACUAGGCUACAGGUCAUCAGAAAGUCAAGCCCCAUAAUUAGCAAUCUAAGUAUCAUAACAGAAAACAACUUAUAAGUUUUCAAUGCCCCCUCCUUCGCAACAAACCCACACAAAAGAAGGAAAAAAGAGACGGAUUUUUUUUUAUAUCUGUAUUCUGAGCUAACAAUCUAGCAUCUAAUGCUGUAGAUAUCCUUAUUAUUAUUUCAUGAACAAAAAAUGUUAACAUACAGGUUUAGAAACUACCAUAGAUGCCUUAUUACUCCAUGGUACCAUACAAGUUUAAUUAGAGACCAUAGGGAGGAUGCACUUAAAUAACAAGGAUAUUUAAAAGAAAAUUAGUCAAUGAAGAGAAUUAAAACAACACAACAUUAAAAAUGUAUAAUAUCUUGGGUAAAAGUAGGUGGGAUAAUAUACGUUCACAAUUGUUCACAAUGUGAUUGCAUAAAUGUGUAUGACAUAUUCACAUGCAUAUUUAAAUUAUCAUAUUUGAUAUCCAAAUAUAUCUCAAGCUGUUGAAUUUACCUAUAUUAAUCCACAAAAGACAUUAAUUGAUUUGUUCUUUCAUUCAGUGUAUUCUCUUUUUUCAUUCUUAUUUUUUCUGUUCACAUAUGUAUCCUAUCCAGACAAUAUGAAAAAUAUAUUCAAGUAAUUUUCUUAACUAUUUGUUGAUAUUGUGGCUGAUUAUAUAACAUUCACGUUAAAUCCAUAAAUGUCAUGUGUUAUUCAUAUCUACCAUAUGCAUUUUAAGCAAACAUGAUUACUGUUUAUGUAGUGUCUGUCUAAAAUUCAUAUCCAAAUUAGCAUUUGGUAAUUACAAGAAAAUAAAGAACUGGCCUUUCCAGAAUCCGAUCCAUUUCCAUCCCUAGUAAUAUUAUCACUAGAAAAGUCAAAUUUGUGCCACAAUGUUUCAGUGUUCUCACAUAAGCAGUAAUUAUUGCUUGCUAUAUGAUUGCAUAACCUUACAUACAUUUUGCACAAGAUCAAGAGCAAGAUCUUUUGCAGUAUCACCAUCAGGAUAAUAAACUGAGCCAAUUAAAUUGCUGUAUUUGUCUACACCUUCUAGCACGAUCCUGACCUGCACAGUUCGAAAUUCAGUGGAUAUAGGUCAUAGAAAACAAAUGAAGAAAAAAUUGAAUAGAACUUUUGGUACUAAGACGUAGCUAAAAACACAAAAAGAACCUACAUCUCUGCUCAAAACACGGAUUUCUGUAAAGUGUUUGGCUUCCCUCCCAAAUGGAUCUGGUGCAACUUCAGUUAUUGACAGCGAAGAAGCAGCAAGCCUCUGGGCCGAUGUUAGUGGCUGCUGAGAUUCACCUGAAAUUUCUCCAUUUGUAUCAUCAGUAGACACCUCAGUCACAGGAAUUGUGUCAUUAGUGGGCCUUCUUCCCAUUGAAGGAGCCUAUAAUUAAGAAAAACAAUUUUGCCACAUAAGUAAAAGAAGGGCAAAAAGUAAACAUUUAUUCCACAGUUUUGUUCAGAAAAUCACAUUUAAAAUAAAAUAUUCUUGGUCAUGUUUUAAAACAUACCUGAACCCCUGCAACAAAAACUUGAACAAAAUGGAACUCAGGAAGGAGGUAGACACGAAGAGUGCUGCCAUCACGGACUUGCUCAACAAUGCCCUGCAUGGGUCUGCCCUUGUUUGCAGCUAGCAGCCCCAUUGCAUCGAAAUUACUAGGAUCACCAAUGGCUGAAGGUGGUAAGUUUCUUACAGCUGACUCGGUAGCACCAGGUACCUAAAAAAGUUGAUCAAUAAGAAACGUGUGAUACUUCUCCAAUCUUUAAUUAUCAUGCACAUGUUUUAAUGCUUGUUGGUUGUUGUCAUAUAUCUUAUAAACACAAACUAAACUUUUAAAAAAAAGCAGACCCUUAAGGUUUGAAUUUCAAGAGACAUUAAUAUCCACAGCAAGCCCAAACUUAGAUGGUCUCGUGGUUUUGCAUAUAGGAUAAACAAGCCAAAGGAUGCAAACACGUAUUUUGUGAGAAGAGAAAAAGAUGCUAUUCUUUACAGGAAACAGUCAAAAGAAACAACAAAUAGAACCAGAUAAAAAGCAAGAUAACCUUGCUCCAGCGACCUAAGCCCUGUUGCUUGGCUUGCUCCUCCAAAUGCAGUAGCUCUGUCAAAUAUGGGCUUGCUUCACCUUUCUGCUGGCCUUGUUCCCUAACCUUAUGAAGAAAAAAAUACAGAUAAGAUAUCAGCAGUGAAAUUGUUGGAACAGCAUAUAAAGCAAAGAACAAAGAGUGUAAGUUACUAGUACCUUUGCCCAUCCUUCAGAAACAACUAAGUAGGCGACAUUCUUAUCUCCAAGAAAAACAGUGCCAAACUCUCUCCCAAUAGAUGGAACUGUGUAGUCCACCUUGAAAGUGACAUCCUGAAGAAAUCAAGACUAUGAGGUGUAUGUUUACUUCUGAAGAAUAUAUAAGAUACUCGGAAAUCAAGGAAGAUUCCAAUCAAGGACCUUUCCAAUGCAGUGUUUUCUCAGAAACUCCCUGCUCUCCCAUGCAAACGGUUCAUCCACACCACCCCGACGAGCCUAAUUCACAAUCCAAUAUUGCAUUAGGCAGAAGUAGUACUUCUCCAUAUUAAGGGGAAAAAAAAAGAAAACUAUGACAUGUUCAGGCAUUGAUUUAAAGAAUCAAAACUCUUUGUAAGAUAAUUACUGAAAAUUUUCCUCUGAAAUGUAUGUUACCAUAAUCAGGAUGCGCUGAGAACCAAACAAAUCACAGAUUGGUCUGUUUGUCCUCAUAAUUAAUGGUCAGAGAACAAUCAUAUCCAUACUGUACACUCAUACCAGUCUAGGGGCGAUCAGAGAAGACAAAGUGACGGUCUUUUCGGGAGGGAUCUCUGCUUUUGUGCUUCCCAUGAUAAGCAGAGAAUCCCCUGAAGGAACGGCCUUGACUUUUCCUCUCAGCCAUCCUGUUGCUCCUACUGUGGACGCCAUGUCGAGAGCUAAGCCCUAGAAUCAAUAUACACAAUUUCACGACAAUGAAAGUAGAAUAUGAUCCAAGAACGACCGACAAGCCUCUUUAUUCAUAACACAAUUCUUGUUUCAAUCAUGCAAUCAUAACCCGGCAUAAAAUUCUCUUGUUAAGCAAACAACCACCAAAAGAUGGCACCAACAACUCAUCUGCCGUAAUUAUAGGCCAAAGAAGGGAAGAGAAGACAGGGAAAUCAUGCUAAGUCAACCAAAAUGUAGUGUUGCCGGAGAUAAUACUUAAUUAAGUAACUAGCUCUCGUGUAUUUCAAAAAGAUCUCCUUUUCGUGUCCAACGUCUAGCAAUAACAUCUUCAUAGGAGCAUGAGACGCGCAUAAAGUUAUGAUCUUUUCACAGAUCUGGAGAAGACAAUGACAUUUCAAUCGAUAUCAUACAAAAUCGCAUCAGAUCUCCAUAACAUCGAAAAAAAUAACCAUCCAUGGACCCUUGAAAGGGAUAUCAAAACGAACAAAAAUAGAAACCAGCAGUGAAGCAGCAGAUGGGCACCAGUGGAAGCAAAACAGCGCAAACAAAAAGAAGAAGAAUCGCAAGAAACGUAAAUCCUGUCAUCCCCUCGGAGAAAGAAGAAAUCUCUUCGCGAUCAAAGGACAAAAAAAAAAGUUAGUCUUUUCCGGAAGGGAAACGCCGUCCAUUUCGUAACAAUCGAUAAGAUCCAGAGAGGAGGCUUACCUCGAUCCGAUCUCGACAGAGGGCAGGUCUCCGACGGAUCGGAAGAACCCGAUAGGAAUGCUAGUGAUCCUUGGGGAUGGUCUCGCUGGGAACUCCGCCGCGACGAAAAACGAACGAACGAUGGUCCGGAAAAUUUAGUGUAUAUAUAUUUACCCAAAUUCGCAAAUGGCAUUUAUAUUCCUCUCAAAAGAUCGGAUGAAUCUCCCAAUUUUCAGUUUUAAAUGACGUAUGUUUUGCACUAUUUAUAUAUAUUUUUUAUUAUUAUUAUCAUAUAUAUAUAUAUAUAUAUAUAUAUAUAUAUAUAUAUAUAUAUAUAUAUAUAUAUAUAUAUAUAUAUAUACGCACAUUAUGCGCACGUAGACAACUAUUGUAAUGGAACCAAUAAAAAUGAUAUUCUCAUGAAUAAUUUAAUCAAAUAAUCUUGGGGGUUAGUAUUUGUCAAUAUAGAAUAUUUAUAAUGUACUAAAUGUACUUCCCAAAUAUUUAACAUUCAAAAUUUAAUCGAAUAAAUUUUGAAGCUGGUAAAAACAGUCUAAUUUGUUGAUGGUAAGAUCAUAGAAAGCAAGCAAUCUAUGUUAAUUGUCUGAAUAAAAAUAAAAAUAAAAAACCAACAUGCAUGCAUAUUCCUUCAACAAAAUCAUCCUUAUACGUUCCUGCAACUCUAAAAUAUUUGCAGUCUAUGCUAAUUGUCAGAAGUGAGUUAACAGUUGAGAUGCAUUUAUAAUUAUUAGUAUAGCUUUAAAUAUUUUGAAUCGUGCACUAUAAAAACGUUUAAAAUAUUCAAAACGUCCAUCCAUUCCCCCUUCUAAUCUGAACCGUUCGUCUAAUUAUUUUAUUAUUAUUAUUACAAAAUCAAAAUGACAAGAUGGAUGAAACGGACAGUUUUGGAGGCACGCUUUGUUUGUUUACGUGACGCAUGCGAGACCAAACCACGCAGGUGGGUCUCAGCGGCAUCUGCGACGGUGUUGAAGGUAUCAGUGUAUCUUUGUUGAAGAAAGCAACAGCAAGAUCAGAUAAAAAGAAACCUUAUCUUCCAUCACCCUUGACGAGGGCAAUAAUGACGAUGGGACGCAGGUUAACGUCUGCGCCUGGAUGACGCCUAGCGUCUCGAUUGACCGAUAACGUCGGACCAAAACAGAUCGGAAUGUCGACUGAGGCACAUUAACAUCCUGCUCGAGUCCGAUCCUUCACGCCACGUCAACACUAGUGUCAGACGUUACUAAGAGUACGAUCAUGCUCCCUGCAAGCGGGCACAUUAGGUAACGGUAACUUUCCCUAUAAAAACCCUCGCACUCAGAAAGAGGAGGGGAAGAAAAACAAAGAUAAAAAUCCCAUGUGACUAUCCAUUGACUUGAUCGUCGGAGAGGUCGGAUUGAGCCUCCCGACCCGACCUGUGUGCAGGGACGAAGACGGAACACCUCCCACCGCGUGCCCGGGCGAGGAGUUCCCUUCUAGAGGAAACGGCUGUCCCUUUGCGAUCGGACCAUCGCAGUCGACCACCUCAAUAGUCCCAAUGGUCGUUCAUAAAAAUCCUCAAUCAUUCGGACCCGAACAUAACCGUGUUGACCCCGAGGCCACGACUUAAAGUUGUUGACACCAACAACCCUCACCUGCCUUGCGAUGUCCAACCUUCUGUUUUCGUCAUUCCACUUGAAAUACAGUCCUUACAACUUAAAAAAAAGAAAUAGAAGCUUGAAGAAUGAUUCCCGGAUGGAUGGACCGGAGAUGAGAAAGAACAAAAGUUGGGGUGUGCGGAUGGACGUAUGGUGACCUGAACUGAAAGUAUUGUGGUGCGUCGGGGUGCGUGUGCGGUGGGAGUAUGAUGACCUGAACUGACCUGACCUGACCUAAUCAUACGUUUACGGGUGGAGUUCGCUCGACCGUCUAUCCGGCUAGUUUCACCAAGUUAUCGAUGUCCUGAGCACGAUCAAAACGGUGGACCAACCAAUGAGCACCGUUUGCCACGCCAAUGUCAGUGGUUAAGCCUAAACUCUAUCGAAACUGAAACGGGUAGAAUUAAUCACAGGGGGUAAAGUAGUCAUUUGACAUGACCUCAAUUACGUGUUACCCUUCUAUUGUCCCCUUCACUUCGAUAUGCGUGUACAUAGGUCCGCGGCGGUGAUGAGGAAAUACCCUUUCGUACCCGGAUUAAAUCUCCACUGGUUCCACUUGCUUUUUCAUUGGAAGAAAUAACGUCCUUUGUCGGGUCCCAUUGAUUUUGUCCAAUCAGAACCAUGGAGAUAAAUGGUGUACCUUUCACCGGAACGGGAAACAUUAUUUUCUUAUGCAAGUUAAGAAGCAGCGGCAGGAGGAGAAGAGACGGGGAACUUCGCACGGCCAUCGCGCGUGAGAAAUAGCGGCCCGAGGAGAUCGAAGGGAAGGGAGGAAAGUAGAGGGGUAUGGGGAAGGGGUGGAUCCGGCUGGGGGUGGCGGUGGGAGCCGUGGCGUUACUGGUGGGAGCGGGCCGGCGGUACGGGCUCGACGCGGAGGCGGCGCUCCGGCCGUUCCGGCAGUUGGAGGAGCGGCUCGGGAUGUGGGCCAUCCCGGUGUACGUGGCGGCCCACACCCUCACCCUUGCGCUUUGCCUCCCCUACGCCGUCUUCUUCGAGGCCGGCGCUUCCCUCCUCUUCGGUUUCCUUCCCGCCGUCCUCUGCGUCUUUUCCGCCAAAGUCCUCGGCGCCUCCUUAUCUUUCUGGAUCGGACGGUUUGUCAUCAAGCCCCCUUUGUUUCAUUCUUUCUUUACCUUCUUUGUCUUGAUCCGUGAUUUGGUUGGUAUCUGAGAUGAAGGGGAGGUCUUGAUCUACAAAUGCUUGGCGCUCUCUUAAUCUUUUUCUUUGGUUCGAUGCGACUGAUAAGAAAAGAAUGAAGCUUCCUUGUUCGGUGACCAAACUUACUAUUCUUCUUGUGUGCAAUAGGCCUCUCUUAUAUUGAAAUUAUAAGGGUUUAGUGGGACAUUAUGCUUGCACAACUCAUCAAGAGAAAUUACCGCCUCAUUGUAGAAUCUUGAACCUGUUUUUUGCUGAACAAGAGGGAACAAAGGUGACCUAACUUGGUGGUUUGAAUAAUUUUCCUGAUAUAUAAAACAUGUUUUGGUCAUUGGUUUAUUCAAUUAAAGCUAUUCAUUCCAAGAUUUGCCCUUGAGGAGUUUGUCCAUGUGCAUAUGUUACCUUCCGAACUGUGGCACAAUGACUGCUUGUUUAGAAAGAAUUGAAGCAAUCACACUGUUACUCGUCUUUUCACAGGAGCUUGAAUAUGUUGAAGGUCUUCUUCUCCUCUAUAAUGUGGAUUUGAUCACUAAUAUCCCUGAAUUCUUUUAAAGUGAUAUGCAAAAUGAUCAUAGGCGGCCUACUUUGUGACAUGGUAAAUCUGCUGGAUGAUCAUGAGAUAUGUGAGCCAAUAUAAGGUCAGAAAAGUAUGCUACACUAUGCAAAAACACAUCUGAAGAGUGUACCAAAAACUAGAUUUCAGGGAUGGAAACUUUUGAAGAUCUGUUACUUGGUAGAGUUUGUUCUCAUUAGUUGGAUAAUUUUCAUGAUGGUGCAGUAUUCUUAGUUGUGCAUGAAUACUUAGGUCUAGGUAGCUUCUAAUGGAAUGCCAGAUAGGAAUUUAAAAUCAUUCUGAUUCCUGUACCUAAGAUCUCUAGAAUUCAAUAAUUGCAGUGGCAGAAUAUGUCCUCUGCCUGGGUCUGAUCCUCGGUGAUUUGAUACUCAAUAUGCAGACAAAGUGUCAGGUGAUGGCAUGAUCACAGUUAAUUGGUCAUUGGCAAAUGGAACUUAUCGGUAUGCCUUGUAUUACAUUUUUGAGUCUAAUUUUCUUCAUAAGAAAAGAUUUGGUAAAAGUUUGUUUUCUUUUGUUGGUUGCUUUCUUUGAUACCAUCCUUGCAGCAUGAGAAAUUUUAUUAGCUUUCAGAUGCGUAUUUGAAUAUAUUUAUCAUCCUAUCUUAAGGCAUUGAGAAGCGGAGGAUGCAAUUUUGAUGGAUCACUGUUCUGCUAAGUAUUCAAGUUUUGAACUUUUAAUCCUGUUGAGCUGGUGAAAGAGCCUUUAAUAAUUUGUUAUUUAUAAUCUUAAAAAAAUGAUAUUUUUGAUGGUUAAGUCCUAUUUUUUAUUAGUUGCUGUCGAUAGCUUAUGUACCAUCUGUCUUUAAAUGUCUAAAAUUCUUGAUCUUAAUCAGAUUUUUCAUUGUUAUAUUGUGCAUUCAGUUUCUUUUUUUAUGUAUCUUUUUCUUGCAUUAAUCUAUAUACUGUUUAUCUUUCCACUGUAAUCAUUACAACUUCCUGACAUGGACUGGUGCCAAUAGACCCUGAUGAGCCAAUCAUUGAGGGUUCUGCUGGACUUAGAAAGUGCCUGAUAAAGAAGCCCAUCAGAUGAUUUUUAACAUUGAGUCUGCAUUUGUGAAUGAUAUCACUGAAUGGAUUGAACCUGAUAUACCGCUUAAGUAAAAAUUCCAAUUUCCCAUUUUAGAUCACACGAUAUCUACAGUAAUGACCUUCAUAUCCUAAUGGUGAGGUUUCUUUAAUUGUUGUCCAGGGCAAUUUUUAGGAGCUCAAAAUCAGCAACAGAAUGGGCACAUAGCAGCAGAUACUUCCAUCUCCUCGCUAGAGGAGUUGAACGCGACGGUUGGAAAUUUGUGCUUCUUGCCCGGUUUUCUCCGUUGCCAUCCUAUGUCAUCAAUUAUGGUUUGGCCGCCACAGAAGUUGGUUUUCUUGUUGACUUCCUUCUUCCUACUGUUACCGGUUGUUUGCCGAUGAUCCUCCAGAACACAUCUCUUGGCAGCCUUGCCGGUGCUGCUGUAGCCUCAACAACUGGCUCUAAGUCUCAGGUCUACUCAUACAUUUUUCCGUUGCUUGGAAUUGCUUCCAGUAUUCUCAUAUCCUUGAGGAUAAAGAAGUACUCAUCUGGGUUUGCCGAAGAAUUUAACCAACCUGUAUCGGCUAAGAGCACCGACGGAGGGAUCAAUUCUGUGCAGUCAUCAUCCGAUAAGGCUACUGAAAAACCCAGAAGAAGAAGAAAAUGAAUUAAUUUUAUUUUCAUUUUCACUUUUUCUGCAAUCAUCCAGAGCUCAUAAUAUUUAGUGUCUGGACUUAAGAACAUAAGUUAUCAAGGGCAGUUUUCAUGCUUUUAUUGAGCCUUUUUUUUUUCCAAUCUGAUAUCGUCUUGCCUUGCAAGCUAGUCUUUACUGUGAAGGAUGCUUUGCAAUUGUAUCUCCAGCUAAAUAGUAGAGGAAUGUUAGCUGAAAGUAUUUAGGAUUUCUUUGUGUUCUGAUUGAUUUGGUGUGAGGUUUUUGUUCCCGUAGAACAGGAGCUGAAGAGGAACUUGGCUUCUUUUGUGUUUGCGUCAUCAUGAUGGAGAUACAGUUGCUUGAAGAUUUCUAAUCUUGAGGUCUUGUCUGUGCCCAAAAUAAAAUUUCUAUCCGAACUAAUGGGCUACUCUUUUCGAAUUUGGGCCAAUGGGCCGACAGAUUGUAUCUCUCGUGCCUGUGUCAAACGCAAUGUACACGAAUCUCAAAGUCGAGGCGGCAGGUGCUAUAUAAAUAGACAGAUCGAAUUCGAAAGUUGAAUCUCGCGGUCGAGGCUUGCGAGUAAAGGAAUCCAUGGCGCUUCGCCCCUUCUUUCGCCGUUCUGUAGUCGUAUGCCCUCCGCUGCUCCGCGAUCGAAGCAGGUAAUCCGACCUAUCUCGCUACGAACCUUUGAUCGUUUCGUUCCAUCUCUCCGAUCAGAUUUUACGAUCUUUCCCCCUACUCAGACGUGAUCUUCGAUGCUGUAAGGCUUCCUACUUCCGAUUCUUGCCAUGGAUUCCCGUGACCGAAUCUUUCAUGGAGGUAUACUACGGUUUGGCUUCUUGUAUCUUAGAAAAAAAUUGCGUACUGCCUAUCAUUUUUUUUGUUUCCAUGCGUCUGUAAUCUCAAUCAAAACUACAUAUUGUCAGUAUGCAACUAGUUAAACAAUGUCAUGAUCGCUAUUUCGUAAGAUCAUCGGACAUGAGUUUGGUUCUUGAAGAGAAAACUGAAAUAUAAAGACUCGAUACACUAGUUGCUUUAUAGGAUAUUGAGCGGAAGGCGAGAAUGUACGAUCGAGUGUUGCUGGCUAUAUCGAGGUCAUUGUAGAGUGAGAUCGUCAUCCUGAUUCAUAUGAAUCUUCGGAUUCUUACAUUUGCAAUCAGUCUAUCGAGGACGUGUUCGGGGACAAAAGGGAACUUACGUCAUUGAUUGAUUCGACUGUGCAGUCUGAUUUUAAUAGGAUACAUGGUGUUGGAAAAUUAAUUAGCUGAUGCAAAGGGCUAAACUCAUUCAUUUCCUCUUAACACUUGGAUCUGUCAAGGUGCCCUUAAUUUUUAAUCCAAAGAGAAACAGAGAGCAUGGCCUAAAGUGCCUUUGUUAUUUUGAAUAUCCAAUGCGUUCUCAUAUAUGUGAAAAUUAAACAGUACAAACCCAUCUAUAUACUUAGGAGAAGGAAGAACUUCUUAAAGAGGAAAGAGCAAGUUUAAGAGAAUCGUUAAUAUUGAAAGUGGUUCGAAUUGGUUCAUCACUGGAACCAAUUCUUCUCCAAGUCAAAGUGGUUCAUCACUCGAACAUCUUAGACAUUACGAAUCCUCCAGUGUCUGAGACCAAUAAAUAAACCGUUUUACCUCUUCUUGGAAUUCAAAUUUUGGUGUAAAAGGCAUCUUAGGCUAUUUAACUGAUUUGUCGGAUGAUAGAACAUGCAUAUAAGCUGGUUUGUGGGAUACCCAGUCCAACUAUAUGAUCUACCAUGAUCACAGUCAACUCAGUAUCAGAAAAGAAUUUUUUUGCAUCAUGGUGUGGAAGAAACUAUAAUUAUAUGGCAUUUUGCAUUGAUGUCUAUAUAUCUGUAUAUAUAUGAGUGCAUGCAUAUAUUCCUGAGUUGGACACUUUUUUAAAUCUUUGGUUAUAUAUCUUAUAUUAUCAAAUAAGUGACUUCUCUUCACCCUUUAAGGUCCCCUAUGGAUCCAUACGCUGAAAUCUUGACUCCCCUGACAUUGAUUUUAAUGUGCUGUAAUAUAUAGAAAUUUUGUUUCUUUUUUUAUUUUUCAAAUUUUCAUUUUGGCCCUCUUGGUCCACUGAAGACAAAUGUCCUUAAUGUGCUGUAAUCCAUAUGCUGAAAGCUUGGAUGCAUGUCAUAUCAUAAUCUGAUUCUUAUGUCCGUGUCCAAGUAUAGUUUAUCCUUAAAGAUGAAGACAAAUGAUGCACUUCAAAGUCUAAUAUUCAAACUUCAAAUUUGUCAGAUCAGACUGAUCUCCAUAUUUGAAAAGUCAAGAUUUUUCUAGAUGUUGGAAGCUCUGAAGCAACAAAAACAUACAAAAAGUGCCACAAUCUAAUCGAGCAACUUCUCAAGUGUGAAGAUAAAAUAAGCUAUUGUACUACUUGUUGUGGUUAAACUUUUCUAUUCUAUAAAUGCUGUAUUUUCUAUUAUAAAUGUAUUGUAUCUGUUAUGCAGAAUUUAUGAACAAUAAAAACAACGAAAAUCAAUAUCGAUUUUUAAGAAUUAGAGAAGAAAAAUAAAAUUAUUAGAAGUGUUAGACAAAAUGAUUCUAGAAAAUUAUCUUUGGAGAUGAUUACGGGAAAAUUUUAUCUUCAGAAUGCUUGUCUAACAUGUGAAGUAAUAAUAUCUUCAAUUCAACCUUAUUUGUAAACCAAAAUUAGUACAGAAUGAAGAAAAACAGCAUAAAGAUUGUAGAUUCAUAAAGAAAAAUUUUAUUUUUCACACCAGUGGCUUAAUAGGCUAUUUGUAGUUAUUCAUUGGUGUGCCCAACAAUAUACUUCCUUUAUGGGGCUUCUUCAUCUGAAGGGAUUCACCUCCAUGGAGUCCCUUUAUUAGAAAGGAACAGCUAUUGGUGUAAGAGGCAUCAAUAUUGUUCAUUAGAUGAACCAAACUUUCUAUUUCUUUUGUUCUGUUCUUAAUUAUAUAAAAACAUAACAUUAUUUCAACUCAAGCUUUGGUCAGCCACUAAGUCCAAAGGUUAAAAUUUCAGCUACAUGCCACUUUGAGAGGAGCUGAAUAUGAAUUAUGGAAUCAUUAGUUUAUGUAAUGUUUAUGCUUAUACAAGCUGGUCCUAAUGUCCACCAGAACUUGGAGUAGAUUAGGAAUGAGUUUUUACAGUCUAUUUCAUCGAACAUGCUAAGCAGUUCUGCCUGCGCUUCUCAUUGCAGCUUGAUGUCUAACAGUGGGGCAUUCAAAAAGUAGUAUCCACAAGGGUUGGUGAUCUUGGUGCAGAUUCCAAUCUCAUGUGUUCGCCACAUUGGGUGAGCGGUUCCUAGAAACUACAUGGCUUCCAAAAUGGGCAGAAUGUUUCCUCACCACAAAUGAUGUUUUCAAAUUUUGAUUGUGGACUUCUCCCUUAGAUUGCUGUUCUUCUUUAAAAAAUAACAAUAUUCACUAAUUCUACUUUUCUUUGUUGCUACAAGGCACCUGGUCCACUUGGAGAUUACCCAGGAAGGUGAGCCUGGAGUUAGUUAAUUUACCCCCUUUGUUAUUUGGUCUAAAGCAAUCCAUUAUUCACGUAGGUUUUGGCCCUCCACUUAUCUCCAAGAGAUGAUUUGAAGCUUUAUGGAAAGCAGCUUGACAUCAAUUUACUGGAGUUCAAGAUUCAGGUAAAUUAUUUUUCUUUUGCUUGACAAAGAUGUCGGGCCAUAUCUUACCUGCUUCAUAUCCAUCCAUCCAUGAUAACAAAUCCUAGGAUUCAACAUCAAAAAAUGAUUAAAAAAGCAUAGUUAUAUGACCUGAUACAUCCUGGUGAUCAUGGUUACUUUUUGCGUUCUGCAAUUGGCUUUUGCUACGGGCAGUGCGUGUUAGCAUCAGCCGUGAUCUUUUUAUAACGAUUUCAUUGUCUGUUCUUAGUGCUCUUAUUCACGCGGUGCUUGGUCCAUUGGGGCUGUCACCGUCGUGGAGCAGUAUCGCUGUAGGUCUUGUAUGACGCAGAUUGAGUGCAUGAUCUGGCUCCAGGUUAGGAUGCACUACUACAUGUGGAGCAGGUCAUAAUAUGCUUCCUAACUCCGUUGUAUUUUUAGAGCCACUUGAUGGUCACUGGUUUGCGCUUUGACCUCGACAUAAGUUAUUAUUUCUCGGCACCCGGUGGGCCUGUCAUUGUCGUUAGUUCCAGCUUCGGUUAGGAAACCACUGAACUGAGCUUAAGGUGAAUCUUGUCAUUUCAUAAGUUGAUGCUGGAUAAGGUUAUGAUUUUGAAAACUAUGUAAACAGAGUUAAACUAGGUUUUGUCAUGCCAAAGUAGAACAGUACUAUAACCUAGUUGCCUUAGCGAGUCAGUUUAAAUUAUUGACUGAGUUGAGUAGUACAUCGUGCUCAACCUAACGCGUGAAGUCGGGUGAUCACAUACAGCCCAAUCAUGACGCCAACUUCCUUUAGAUUAAUAGAUUAUAGCCAGUAAGGCGUUAACUAAGCCAUUCUUUGACAUGUAGUGCUCCUUCGAGUCUGUGGAAAAGUUGGGGAAUAUUGUUCCUUCACAUGUUGCAUUCUUUCAAUGGGCCAUAGACAAUUGCCAUGUUCCCUUGAAGCACCCAUUGGAUUUUCUUUGAAUGUGGACAUCUCUUUCCGUUCUUUGAAGGAGAUGAAUAGACACAAUUCACCGUUAUGUAGUCAGUCACCUUUAGCCUUUGAAUACCGAUUGAAACUGUGAACACAUUGUCGAAAAGUAUCUUUUGCCAGCCGAAUUUUCCUUUCUCCUGCUUACUCUGCUGUGCGCGUGAACUAUUUUCCAUGUCAUCGAACAACUUAGAAUAUCUCCCAUUAUUAGAGAUUGAAAAAAAGCGAAGGACAUGUCUUAUUAUACAACACAACAAUAGCUAGUAAUACAACAGGGGCCAAAAUAAUUUUAAAAAAUAAUGGAAACAACAAGAAAGUAGACCCAAUGGGGCUGGCAAAUACUAUCCUACCCUACAUACUCUCCAGUGUCUGCGGUUGUGUUCAUCUACGCAGCCACUGCCCUCAGAUGUUAAAGGAGAAACCAACAGGUAAAUAUCUAUACAAGGAGGAGAAAGUGACUGUGUGAUGGCAUCGAAUGGUUUCAAAAGUUCUCCUUGUGGAAGUCGAACUUGGUGCUGGUCUUCCUUGAGAAAUCCGUGGCUAGCUGGCGCAGCUCCUUCGUCAGGGUCGGGGCUCCACAGUAGAAUACACCUGUUUAAAGAUGAGAACAGGUAUUAUUAGUGGCAAUAAACCAAUAUGACUAGGAUAUCUGGUUGACCCCAGGACAAGAUUCUCUCUACCAGAUAUUUUAUAACGAGAAGCAGCAGAAAAAAAUGUACAUGCGCGUGAGCCACUUGGACAAUAACACAGGUAGGCACUAAUGUGUAUGUUUAUCAGGAUUCUAGCUUUAUAUUACACAAGAUGCAACCAUAGGACCAUUAUUACGUGAUUUGGUCCACAUGGCAUAGUCAUAAUUGGGAGUAGAAAACGGAACAUGUUCUUUGUUUUAUUAGGCUUAUUCUAUGGAGAUGAGAGUUGGUGGAGAAAUCGUUGAGUACCACCUAACUGCAAAUAUCAGAAACGUAUUAGGACUUGCAUGAUACUAUAUCUGUGGUGUACCAUGUGAAGGAAUCGUCAAUUCACCUUAAUGGAAUUAACUAUUAGACUCGAUUCGUCUAAAAACUUAAAAUACAAGACCAAAACCUUCGACUCUUGUCAGGAUCUGUUCUUUUUGGAUGGUUAAUAGUCUCAAAUUGUGGUGAUUGCGUUACCGUUUGUGUACUUGAGGAUUAAAAAAAUGUGUAAGCGCGUGGAGGAUGAAAGCCGAGAGGAAUUAAUUUAAAGCAAUGUUGUGGGUUUCCAUGCGGUGGAGGUCGAGAAGGAAGCGUACCGAUUCGUUGAUCGCGAUGGUUGAGGGCGAUGCGUUUGUAGACGUUGCGCCAGUUGGGGCGGGCGAAGUGGGACUUGACCCGAGUGCCCGACACGAUGUCCACCCCGUGCUUGGCGUGGUUGAGGGACUGUAGCAUCACGAUAAGGGCGGACCGGGCGUCGCCCUCCUCGUACACGCUGGUGCAGAAGUUGUGCAGCUCGAUCACCCCCUUCUUGUCCGUCUCCGCCACCUCGUUCAUCACCCCCCGGAACCACUCGAACGAUCCCUGCUCCCGCGUCACCCAGUAGAAGUAGGCCCUCCUCGUCUUGAACGACGACGUCGACGACGUCACCGGCCUCCGGUGGCUGCUACUGUGGCCGCCGCUGCCGCCCUCCGACGCGUCGCGAACGUCGUCGCCGUCGGACGACUCUUCGGGGUCCCAUUGCUUCAUGUUGUUGACGAUGUCCUUGACGAUGCUGAUGAAAGGGGUGGCGCCGAUUCCCAGCCCCACCAGCAGUACGACCUCGUACUUCUUGUACUCUUGGGCUGGUGCUCCAUACGGCCCAUCGAUCAGCACCUUUGGAAAGCUGCAUAUCCAAUUAUUCGUUAGGUAUCUCCUAAUAUCUUUUUCUCAAGCAAGCAUAUUAAACGGAUGUAACAAUUCGUAAAUGGGUCUAAUAAUUCAUGAGAACCCACUUUGAAAUUUUAGUAAAUUAAUCAACAUACAAUGGAUGACAACAUAAUAUGAAAAAACAUCAAACAUGGACAGCAACGCAGAAUAAUGCUCCGUCUAAGAGCUUCUUCCAGUAAUUUUCUCAUCGCAGGAGGCCCUCUUAGGUUCGCGAUGCGAGGCUGACAGAUAACGACUUUUGGUACAUGUGGUAGCACGAGUACCAUGUGCUAGUUUCUGUGAUUAUCAUUACAAGCAUCAUUGUAAUGAUUAUUACAGUAAUAGUUUGGGAUACUGAACAACGUUAAGGAUCAAUUAGUUACUCCUACCUACAAUAGACCAGGCUAAAGGACGACAAGCACAGUUCAUGGUGGCAAAAAGAGAGCCAGAAGAGGCGAGCAAGUAAUAACUUACAUGAGGUUGUUGUUGCUGUCGUAGUCUGAUCUAAGAAGACCGCUUUGGCCACUUGUUGGUGGCUGACACACCUACAAACACCAAAUCCAAACCCACUUCAUCUUCGCGCCCCCCAAAAGAAAGAACAAAUAGAAUACCUAGUUCGCGAAACAUUCGCUCGCAGAUCACUAAAUAAAGCGCUUAAUCCUGCCAUGUCUACUAAAACUAUACCGGCAUAGCGCAGACAAUAGGCAGCACAGUAUACCUCAGAGAAAACAGCUUUGAGCUGCCUGGUCCAGUCCCCCAGGGUCCGUAUGUGAACACUGAUGUAGUCGUCUUGCGGGGCUGACGUGAUGGAGAAUGGGUGCCUGUUGUCGUUUGGGAAAAACAAACAAUCAAACAACAGACUUGAUUAAGCUCAUACGAAAGAAGUCGCUGUUAAAUUUGACAGGUACGGUAUGGAAAAUUUAGUGUGCGGUCUUUACCACUGGAACGGGGAGACGGCUGCGCAAUUAACAAAUAUGUAUUGACCGCUUCGGUACUUGAAGCCCUGUGGCUUCGACAUUUGAAGAGUCAGGACGUUGCCAGGGUACACCGCCACUUUCAAUAUCUUGACCGCCCUCACGCUCGAUCGGAGCGCUCUGAUCAACCGUUCGCUGGCGUAGAGGAUGAGCGGAAUCGCCAAAUACAUCCAUGUCUGCAAACGUAUUAACAUAGAGAGAGCGUGUUAGUGGAUCGUCGCUCGAGGAAGCUGAACUCUGCUCGUUGUUUUAUGUGGGUUAUCGAUCACGAACCGUCUUCUUGUACCAUUUCUUCGAGAGGUAGAUGAAGGUGCCGUGGAUGAUGAGGAGAACGUAGACGAUGACGAACAGGUGGUGAGAGUACCAGAAGGCGUUGAACCCGGUGAGGCGUUUCAAGGGCCAGGGCAGGUUGAGCCGGUUGCGGCGGAACCACGGGGUGGCGAGAGUGAAGGCGAUGGCCAUCAGGACCACCAUCACCACCCCCGUCCACCCCUCCGUGCCCUUCACGAACCACCAGAAGUUGUUGGGCCGGGUGUCCCCGAAGAAGUGCUUCAUGGGAUCGUACUCUUGGUCCGUCGCGUGCAGGAGGCGUGGGAAGUCGCACGUCAAGUGCGAGAUCGCAUGAAGCCCGACACCGAUCGCCACGCCCACCGCGAUCACCUGCAUCACGCAGCCAACGACACGAAUCCCAGUCCUAUUCAUUUUGCAUUCAGGAGCACAAGAGGCCGUAGAGCAAUUCCGAGGGGGGUCGUCGUCGUACCUUGUGGAAAUUGAGGUUGUCGUCGAAGGGCAGGACCUUGCCGAGCUUGGUCUUGGUGCGGAGCCAGGUGAUGGUGUUGCGGCAGACCGGGAGGAGGAUGAGGGCCAUGUUGAACUUAAGGGUCUCCGCGCCGCCCUUGGCGACGCAGACGCAAUAACCCAUGACAUGAAACACCGCGCGCCGCCGGUACUGGACGAACUUCCACGCGAAGAGGCUGGCGCAGACGCACAGCCACAGCACCAUCACCCACACCCGCUUCCAGUGGUCCUCCAGGAAGUAGCGCCCCUCGUGGUACCACCGGACCAGCGGGUUUGGCUCACGGGUCGGCCUCAGCUUCUGGCUCAGCAUCUGACUCAGGUUUCGGCUGUUGGUGGUGCCGAGCUGCGCCGAGUAGCCGGGCGCCUCCAACAGGAGCAUCUCCAGGUUGUAUAUCUGAGGCCAUGAUCACCGUCAGUUGGUUCCCCAGAUCAUCGAGCCAACAUAACCCAAUCUACCCGAGCAUUUCUCCGGUGCCCCGCCCGAAUCCUUUACCUCAAUGUAGCCAAGACUGUCGGGGUCCAGUUCCUCCAUGAUGAGCGCCGCAUACUCCUCCGCCUGAUCUUGAAUCUUGGAGAGAUUGUUGGCUGAAGCGCUCAGCGAGAUGAUCUGUUUGCCAACCACGUAUAUGCUAAGACUAAAAACUAGUAUAAUUCAAUAGUAUAAUGGUGCCAGAAUUAAGUAAUAAGUGAUACGCAAUCUGCUUGUCUUCAUCAGAAGGCUACAGAGACUUUAGCUGAAUCACCUCUCUGACUUCCUCUUCCGUGAUUCUUCCAUCCGCGUUCUUAUCCACCCUGUGCAUCGGACGCCAAAUCAAUGAUGGCAUGAUUUUUUCUGUUUGUAAUCUCUAUAGAACUGAGGACUGGUUUGAAUCGUUACAUAUCGAAGAAGGUUUGGAGCCUGGAAUCGAAGCUCUGUUCCGAUAUCUGAUCCCAAAACUCUCGCAACUCCGCCUUUGUGAUAGUAUCCCCUUUGAUCUGUCUCCUCCUCGCCAACGCAUCGAACAGCUCGCCUGCGAACUCCUUCGACUCUUUCAUUCCUAUCGAUCCCAACUUUCAAUUUUUUUUAGAUUGUAAAAGCAUAGAAAACAUACGAUUUUUGCUUUGGAGGAAAAGAAAGGAAACAAUAAACGGGAAUAGAUGUGAAGGCGGUUGAAGAGGGGAAACGAUCGGAGUGAUGGGGGGACGGACCGAUGCACUGAGCGAACUUUGAGCGGUCGAGGGUGCCAUCGACGGCGAGCUCAUCGAAGCGGCGCUCGACGGCAGCCCAUCCGGCGACGCCGUCGGCCUUGCUGAUGAACUUGAGGCCCUUGAGGGCUUGCGCGGCGGCGGACCUGCUCCGGUCGAACUUCCCCGCCCCGGGACGCCGCCCGAACGACGCCAGCCGCCGCAGCUCCUGUGACACCUGCCGGAACCUCCACGACGCCGUGCGCAUCACCGACGCCCCGAACGCCGACCGCCUCUCCAGCUCCCGCGCGAGCGCCGCCACCUCCGGGUCCCCGGCGGCGUCCCCGCCGGCCCCCGCCGCCUUCACGCUGUGCACCGCCACCGUGUCGUCGCGCACGUCCAGGGUGAUCUCCACGUACGUGUCAUCGUCGUCCUCCUCCUCCUGCUCCUUCCCCUUAACCGACCCCACAGACGAAGGCGAGCCCGGGAAGCUAACCCGGGCGCCGCUCUUCUCCCCCCUCUUGUUGAGAGGCCCGCUCAAGGGGCCACUAAAGGAGAUGCGGCCGCCGGUACUCUCCACCUCGAUCGCAUCCGUCGGGCUUUCGCCCCCUCUCCCCUCUUCGGUCGGGCCCAUCUUCUUCAUCCCCGAUCAGAGAUCUGCGAGCCCCAAAAUCUCCAAUCCGACUUCGACAAAAACCAAAAAUAGAAGAAUCCCACUGACGGAUUACACAAACGAAGUAUGGCGUUCAAAUUUACAGAGAACAGACAAGAAGAGGGCGGGGAAGAAGUGGAGGAGCAGCUAAAUCAUGGUUUAUCCUCCCGCCUUGGGUUUAUAGUUACGGGAAGGAAGGAGGGAAUGGCUGCUCAUCCCACUUUUUUCUGUAAAUAAAUAGCUGUAGAUUGGGAAGAGUAAGCGACGGAGCUUUUACGCCUCUAUGGUUGGGAAAGGGGAGAGAGAGAGAGUCGGCGGUUGGUGAUGGCAAUCAUCCUCGAUGGGGUGUGUGUGUGUGUAUGUUCCACCGUUCCCUUUCCGAUGUAAUUCUCAGCUCCAUGUGAACCCCAUCCGUCGAAACAAACCACGAUAGUUGGGACCCAUAGCGAUAUGACCUUUCCCGGUGCAAGCUUAUCUUCGCAACUCCCCUGCUACAACCAUCGGACGGGUCACAGAGUGCGAUAAGAACAUAGUUGAGAUAUGAAUUGUGUGCUCAAAAUAUAUUUUAAAUAUAAUUUAAUCUUUUAAAAAAUUUUAAAAUAAAAUUAUAUCUAAUUUAAAUAUUAUACUAUAUUUCAUAAUUUACAAGAUGCUCUCAUAAUUUUUAAAAUUAUAAAAUUAUCAUAUGAUUUUAUCUAAAAAUAUAUUAUAUAUUUGGGUCAUAUGAAAUUUUUUUAUAAGAUUACAUUUAUUUAUAUAUAAAAAAUAUAUAUUCUUUAAAUAAAUAUAAAAAAAUAUUAGCACAUUUAAAUUAUAGUUUUUAUCUAUUAUUUAUAAAACUCUAAAAUACGUUUAAAAUAUAAAAUAAAAUUUCAAAGAGUAACGAUUUUACAGGACGAUGCGCGACCCACCCACGUGCAGUGCGGAGAGGUGAUCGGAGAGGAGGGAAGAAGGCAAUGGGCCCCCGGUAACGGGUCCCGCAGCGGGUGGGGGUACGGACGGAAACAUGCGGGUAUCGAAAUGUAGCGUUCGAUUUGUUAUUCCUCGAUGUGUCAAGGAUCAAAGUUGGAGGGUGCUGACCGACGACCGGUUCAGGCUUACUUCCUCGCGGUGUGAGACAGCCGCUAUUUGCUUCGCGUGGAAUCAUGAUGGUUUUAGACCGCACGAUCGGAUCGUAUGUUGCUCGAAUAUACUUCAUACCGUCUUGCGAUGUCAGCGAUAUUAAUGGGGCGCUUACGCUACGGAAAGGCUCGAUGGCUCGGUCACUGUUACUGACUGUAUGAUCGAUCAAUCGCGCUUUCCAGUCUUAAUUGGUAAAAGGAGUGUGGUUCGGUUUGUGGACUGCUUACCAAACAUGAGGAAUGUCUUAGGUGGCAUUAGCCUCGAUGUCGAUCUCUUAUCCUUCGUGAGGUUGAUAGGGCCCACCAAUCUAGCAUGUACGUCGGGUCGACGAGCCAACGGGGAUUGGAGGCGAUAAAAUGGGAUUACGAUUACUGCGGUGCUUGUGGUGGUCCGGUGGCUUGCAAUUGCGCGUGAUGUGAUCGAUGCUUUGAUCCGCAGCCGUUCAUAGUGACUCACAACUCAUACUCGAAUGGAAGAGGAUUGGACUCGCGAUUGGAUCCCCUGCGAAGGCCUACUCGAAUCUAUCGGACGACAUCGGUUGAUUUAGAAUAUAUUAUUUCUGCACCUUUGGACUAUGGCCUAACACUUGUCUCCUCUUAGAUGGAUAGACUAAACUAAAGUAUUGCUCUCAUAUUUCAAUCAUCGCAUUCUCCUAUCUUCUCGUAUAGUAAUUGUGAGACAACUCAAUUUCCUCAUCGCUUGUGUUUCUACGUGUUGGCUCGUAUGUGGUUAACUUCCUCCACGUCUUCAAAUUGACUCACUUUUAGUUUUAGAUCACUUAGACAUUUUUAUUACCGUAAUAAUAAUAAUAAUAUAAUCAUAACUCUCAAUUAUUUGAGAUCGACUAUAUAGAUCCCUUAUUAUCAUUAAAAUCUAUAAAAAAUUAUCUAUCUAAUUAAAUUUAUUUAUAUUUUCUAUUAAAAAAUUUAAGGUCUUUCUCUACCUACCAUAAUAUCACUAAAAUAAUUAAUAGUUUCUAUUAAUUAUCUCAUCCGGAAGUCUCCUUUGUAUAUGUCCAUAUCAUCUUAAAUAAUUUUUUUAUCUACCGAAGUGAUACCCUUUUUUAUAUCUUUCCUGAUAACUCCAUGCAUCUAUCUUAAUAUUCUCAUCUCAACCACAUAAAUUUCUUGUAUAUAUUUUUUUUCUUAGUUGUUCAAUACUUAUAUCCAUAAAGCAUUAUUAGUUAAUUAUCAUAUAUAUUUGUUUAAUAUAUUUAUGAAUAUCUUAUAAUACAUAUUUCAUGUGAUAUAAUUUGUUCUGCAAAUCUAGUGUUUUAAAGUUAUUAUGUAUUAAAGUUUAUAACUAAUCCAUGCUACAUUUGAUGCCAUACAUACAUUAAGGAACUUGCAAAGUGUUUACCAAAUUCAAUAACUUGGUGUACUAUUAUUGUAUAAUGAAAUACGAAUUUGUAAGCCCAAAAAAACCAUCAUGUAUUUGCUUAACAAAACAAAGAAAGAAAGAAAUAAUUUCUCAUAAGGUUUAACGAAAAUAUCAUUACAAAAUUUGGAGUAAUAUUAUAUGUUCCUCCAAAAUAUAUCAAAAAAAUUAUAUUGAAGUCGGGUUGAAAAUAUUUCAGAAAAUUAAAUUUUCUAGAAUAUUUUAAAUAUUAUUUUUAACAUUUUAAAGAAUUUCAAAAUGAUACUGAUGUCAAUUAAAGUUACAAAAUAUCUAAUAUAAUUGUUAUUUGGAUAUAUAUUGAUUGCUAGAGGGAUAAAUACAAAAUCAUUGGAGGGGCGGCUUGUGAUGUGAAAGCCACACAUAUCGAACAGAAUGUCCAAUCACGAUUCUCUUAUGAUCACGUUCAUCUAUGUUCAUGUCUCCUGUGUGAUGUCCUGUUGCGAUGUUGGAGGGAAAACAACCUCGGACUCUAUCCAUAAUCUAUGUGCUAUGAACCAAAACGUGAGAUAAGAGACUUGGAACUUUGGAGCUUUGGGUCACUUCUUCGACGACAAUUCCACGAUGAUCACACCCGCACAUCAUCACAAGAGAGGUUGUAACACGUUCUUAUGUGUGAAUCGGACCACCCCGAUUCUUGUUUCAGUCAGCGCAAUAGCACUUGGGUUGUCUUCUUCUUGACUCAUCUCAUGUUCUUGCAGCGUAUGUGAGACACUUGAAGUUCUCUUAGUCAACUUUUACCGGAUUAGACUUCCGUUCUCAAAAGAGAAAUCUUACCCGCAUCUAAUUGAUGAAUCGAGCAAGCAAGACUGCUCGUUUCUGCAAGUCGUGGAAGGUGCGGGAAGAUCAUGCACAACACGCGUUGCUUUCUCAGCACCAUAAGUCAAUGCGAUGCAGAGUUUUCACGAGGAGGAAACCCUCACUUGUAUCGAUAGGACUUCUCUCCAACACUGUUUGAUCGGUAAUGCAUGCACUCGGCCUUUAGUUCGUCGCGUCCUUGCUGAUGUCGAUAGCCUCCUAACACUGACCUUCACUGAUCUGACGAGCGCCCACUCGAGUUUCGAGAGCCUGUCAUGCAUGCAUGCACAUCGGACUACAGUAACGAAUGAUAAACAAAGAAGCAAAUNNNNNNNNNNNNNNNNNNNNNNNNNNNNNNNNNNNNNNNNNNNNNNNNNNNNNNNNNNNNNNNNNNNNNNNNNNNNNNNNNNNNNNNNNNNNNNNNNNNNNNNNNNNNNNNNNNNNNNNNNNNNNNNNNNNNNNNNNNNNNNNNNNNNNNNNNNNNNNNNNNNNNNNNNNNNNNNNNNNNNNNNNNNNNNNNNNNNNNNNNNNNNNNNNNNNNNNNNNNNNNNNNNNNNNNNNNNNNNNNNNNNNNNNNNNNNNNNNNNNNNNNNNNNNNNNNNNNNNNNNNNNNNNNNNNNNNNNNNNNNNNNNNNNNNNNNNNNNNNNNNNNNNNNNNNNNNNNNNNNNNNNNNNNNNNNNNNNNNNNNNNNNNNNNNNNNNNNNNNNNNNNNNNNNNNNNNNNNNNNNNNNNNNNNNNNNNNNNNNNNNNNNNNNNNNNNNNNNNNNNNNNNNNNNNNNNNNNNNNNNNNNNNNNNNNNNNNNNNNNNNNNNNNNNNNNNNNNNNNNNNNNNNNNNNNNNNNNNNNNNNNNNNNNNNNNNNNNNNNNNNNNNNNNNNNNNNNNNNNNNNNNNNNNNNNNNNNNNNNNNNNNNNNNNNNNNNNNNNNNNNNNNNNNNNNNNNNNNNNNNNNNNNNNNNNNNNNNNUACCUAAAAGGAUAAUUGGUAUGUUUUAGCGAAUUCAUGUGCCAUGACUGAGGACUACGGGUCGAUGUCCGGUGUCGUCAACGCUCUGGAGCAUAUCUCUUGGUCGAUCGAAGACGGUUCCAAGGUCGGGCUAGACCAAAAGUCAGGGUGGUCACAUCUUCAGCAUGAGAUUGAGUUGCCUUGGGAGUGGUCGUGUCCCUGUGCACAGACCCGGGUCAGGGGAUUACCAACUUAGGCCCCUCAUAAAUUAAGUCAGUGGUUUAUCUCUUGUCUCUCUCUUUUUUUCUCUUCUAGCCAGAUGCCGAUCAUGAGCUUUUAUACUGGUGCCCGAAAGUCGAUCAUACGCGAAUAUGGCAUGACGAUCAAGCCCCCGAGUGAUAAGUACGUACCUUCGUGUAGCUGCCUUCCGGUAUGCACGGAACAACGUCAUGCAGCGUCGUCCCGAGUUUUUUGAAACGGGGCUUGCCAAGGGGACGCCUCCCCAUACGAGCUUCAGCUUGAGGAAGGUAGCCCUUAUGUUGAAUCUGUAGGGGUGUAUCCAAUGUGGCGUCUAAUCCAUAUCUUGAGAAUUUAUGUUCGUGCUAAUGCCAGAUAUGGAUCGUGACGUGAAUCAUGAAAUGGCCAAAAUAUGAAAUAUGCCUUAUAAAAUUAAAAGAGUCAAUUUAUAUAUAUUAGCUUAGAUCUAUAAUCUAAAAAUUUAAGUUUUCUAAUUGAAUCGAUAUCUAAUCAAUAUCGUAUCGGAAUGUAUAUCAUCUCGGCAUCUAAUCCAAAAUAAUAAAAAAAUUAUAUAAAAAUAGUGAAAAAAUAUAUUAGGACGCUGCUCUUUCUCUCCUUCAAUUCUUGCUUCGUUUUGCACGUAUUCGGGUUGUGUUGGAACGGAAGAAUCAUGACCACGAGCUUACAUACAAAAGAAGUAAUUGUUUUGUGCAAGUCUCGUGUCAUUUAAUUCGGGUUCAUCUUUAAGGUCGGGAUUGGUAGGUCCAUAGACAAGAAAGGCUGUGGACCGAUAUGUGGACAGGAUGAUUUAUGAGAGGAUCCAAAGGUCGAUUAUAACUCGUUGACCACUCUAAGUUUUAUGUUGGAAAUACCUUUGGGACAAGCAUCGGAACAAUCAUAUAAUAAACUAAACUUGAAGAAAGUCACUUUAAUCUCUCCACCUACGCAUUUGUAGCAUUAAAAUAUAUAGAAAAAAAUCUAAGCAUGUGUGACUUCUAAAUUGAACACUUGCGAUUAUUUUUGCAAAAGAAAUAUUUUCUAAUGGAAUCUGCCAAAGCUAAUAAGCCAACUAAAAGAACUAUAAUAUUUCAAAAAUAAAAGGAUGUAAUACUACUCUUUAAAUACUGAACUCGAAGCCUGAAGGAAUCACUAUCAACUAAGAAUAAUCGCUAGAUUCGAUUUCAUUCUUUACUCUAACAAGUCAAAGAUGAAAGCCAUCUCCAAGUCCUUACCUGCUUCAAGGAGAAAGUAAAUGGAAGGUUAGACAAGCAACCUCUUAGAUGCAUACAAUCAUUAAUUUCGGAGGUAAUCCCUUCAAACUUAGCUUCAGUUUUUUAUUGAAUCAGACGUGGUAGCAUUAAUUUUAUUUCGUUGACAAAUACCUUUCCACCAUCAUCAUCAUCAUCGUCGUCGUCAUCGUCGUCGUCGCUGAUUAUGGAUAAACCAUUUGUUUCGUAUUAUUAUUAUAUAGUCAUAGGAUAGAAAAGGACACCUUCGAUUAGUCCAUAUCGAUCAACUUUGACUAGUUUGCUUGUCCACGAAAACAAAGAGAGGAAGCAAUGGAGUGUGCUCACAAAACAUAUCAUGUACUUUGAGAGACACCAUUCGCGUCGUUCGGUUCCCUACGCAGGGAAAUUAUGUUCUCUGGGUUGUAGCAAGAGAUGACCAAAGUUGUCCCAUCAAAAUGCGUGUGUGUGUGACAUUCCAUUCGACACGUUGAAUGGCUACCUGCUUCGAUGCUCGAGUUGACUGCAGAGUAAAUGGCUGCCGCACCAAAACACAUAUGCCUGAAAAGUCGGUAGAUAGAGAGUGAUCUAAAAUUAAUGGAAUACUGCAUCGUAGUUUCUAUCUGUGUAUUGAUACCUCAUUUGCGAGAGCUGCACACUGCGGAUGAUACUAUAGGAAAUUUCCAUUACAACUGAACCUUAAUUGUCUUUGACGUCUGUAUGAUGAUGUUGCUGCUACCGGUGCUAUUUUCUUGAAUGAAUUAUAUGGUUGAUGCUCUACGGGUUGUGUCCUGCUGUGGCGACAUUAGAGCGUCAUCUACGAUCAGUAAACGAUGGGCACUUUCAUGACGCAAAAGCGACGGCCCUCUCACUAGUCAAUGGUUGGUGAGAUGUCAUACCUUCUGAGGAAGAAGAUGCGUUGGAAGGAUCAAACUCUCGCAAAGGGGGUUUGAUCACAUUGGUUGGCUUUCGAAGGAUUAGGUGAAGAAACACACGUGGUGAAGGAGGUGGACUUGCAUGCUUGCACUCAUUGGUGUCGUGUAAGGGUAUCCUCCAUGGUUCUCACCUUCCAAGUAGAUGAAUUAAGAAUCAAAUAUUUUCUUUUAUGAGUCACUUUAAAAUGCAUAUUCAGCUCUAAUGGUGUUGUCGAGUCAGAUUGAAGUCGACCUAAAUAAUUUUCUUGCUCAUAUGGACAUCAAAUCAUGGGUCCUCAUGAAAAAGAAGAUACUCGGGAGAAACGUAUUAUGAAAUGUUAUACAUCAAUGUCAUUACUUUUAAUUAGAGCCUCUUUUAUAUUAUAUAUAUUUAUAUAUUUAUACGUGACUUGUGCUCUAAUAUCAUUUAAUACGUUGCAUCUAGAAACUUAAUUUUAUAGAUGAGGAUGAGACACGAUAUAUAGAUUUGUAUUCUUAACAUACCUUACUAUAAAAAGUGGAUAAAUGGAAGGUCUUGAUAUGUAUCUACUAUAGUAAAGGACAUCAAGACGAAGAAAAAUUAGAAUAGUAAGAGAUAAGCUCUCGAACGAAGUCAAUAGUGUAUUAAUGGAGAGACGAGAGACAUGAGAUGUUCAAACUUUGAUUUUUGAGCGCAAGUUCUAUCGAAUGAUUCAUUUGUCUAGCCUUUGACCUGAUGUAUUUAGAAUAGUUAUAAGAGUAAGAAUUGUACUUUUAUAUAAAAAAAUUUAUUUAUUCAAUUGAUGUUAAUUCGGAAUCAAACAAAAUUUUAUUCUAAGUUUAUCUCAACUUUAGAGACGGAAAAUAUCGAAUAUACUCGAAUCGAAUGUGUUAAUCUUACAAGAAAUAUGUCAAAAGCACAUGAUAGAGCCCUUAUGAAAAUUAGUUUUGAGUGUAAGGUAUUGGUUGGAUGUCAAAGCUUCUAAUAUUGUAUGUAUCAAAGGUGAAAAAGUCUAAGAAGUUAAGAAAUGACUUAAUGUCACAUAAUUAUACGUCUUCUUUAUCAAAAAUACCAUAUUAAAUCUAAAAAAAUAUAAUGCCACCAGCAACUAAAGAGUCGAAAGUAACAAUGACAAGUUACUCAUAUGAUGUGGUGGUAACCAUAUUGUUGUGAUAUCAAUUUUAUUUUAUUUAUUAAAUAUAACAAUGAGAUGCCAGUAAUUAUAUUUUUUUUAUAAAUUUUUUUUUAUUCAAAUGAGAUGUUAAUUCGAAAUCAAUCAAAGUUUUAUUAUGUAUUUGUCUCAACUUAGUAGAUAUCAAAGCUUAAUUGAGAAUAAGAGUUAAGAAAUAAAUUAAUGUCAAAUAUUUAAAUAUUUUAUUUAGUUUCAAAAGUAAUCAUAUCAUCUUAAAUCUAGAGGGUAUGAUGUAACCAGCAACCAACGUGCUGGAAGUAAUCGAUUUCAUGACACCAAGGUAUCAUCGAUCAUAUGAUGUCGAAGUGUCAAUCAUUUUAUUAUUCUUAUAUUAAUUUUAUUUAUUUAUUUAUAUAUAAACGGUUACAAAUUUUCUUCAUAUUUAGUUCAUUUGGACCAAAAAUACCAACAUAACAAAUGAAGACGAAUCCUCUCAACAUCACUCCAGAAUCCCGUUCAACACGGAAAACCUUCGAGCAAUGUCGCCACGACAAAUCCGAUUUCCUCGCUACACGCUAUUGUGUCCCUAAAAAUUCUCGAGUAAUGGAUCACCGAGUCGCGACGAAACGGGCAAAAGCCUGUCCCGACGGAUCAUUGUCACUGCAAAGGUCAUGCAUCGGCGACAAAAGACAUGAAACACUGUCCUCCGAAUCCAACGCUUUAUCAUCAUUUUUGUCUGGAUAUUUAUGCAAUGUUUACGAAUGCUUGACCUCACAAUUCCAUGGCCCACUUCAAUCUAUAGUUGCAGACAGAGAGAGAGCCAGAGAGAGAGAGAGAGAGAGAGAGAGAGAUUCUUCGCAGGCCUGGGCUUGGACUUUUUUCUGGGCCUAUGGACCCAUGCUUGGAUCAGAUAAGGCCGAGGUGCAUUUGUUCGAUAAAGGCCGGAUGUGAGUCCUUUGAAAGAAGCAUCGGCUGGCUAUUGUAUGUAUAGAGGGUCUUCGAUCCCUGUAGAUGCACGUACGUAUAUCAUCUGUAUACAUAAUUCACUGUGAGAAGACUGCUUAUGUGUAGCUUCAUCUUGGCUAUAAGCUUGUACGGUUGGUAAUUGUUUUACAUAUGUACAGCAUGUGAUGUUUCUACAUGGCUGUGGCGUUACAGCCCAUCCUGCUAAUAAUUGUAAGCAUGUUGACUUCAUUCAACACACCACGGCAUCACGCAUUCGUAGUUACCAUGCGCCGCCACCCACACGGCAUGACCAUGGGAAGUAGGAGUGCACUCAGUCAUCAGUGCCUACUGAAAACCACGCGAUAGGGAAUCACAAUGACCAUCACUUUUUACUGAUGUCCUUCUCCCAUCGUCUGUUUUUGACCUCCACACAUAGAAGCUCCGUGUUUCGCGCUCUUUCCGACCACCACAGCAAGUGCGGAACACCACGCGUUAAUCAUCACAGUGGUGGCCCGUAGUUAACCUCGUCGGAUAAGCAGCACAUGUAGAGGCCAUAUCUAAACUUGGUUGAGAGAUGGAGAGACUACAAUGAAGAUGACAUUAGAUUUGUGAAACCAAAAGCUUUGCUUGCCACCAACUCCUUGGAUCCGUUCCUUUCGAAGGAACCACGAGUCCAAGUCAAAAAAGAUACCUCUCCACCACCUUCAUUUGAUUUCUUUGGGCGUAAUCUUUUGGGCCCAUUCUUCCUCAACACUGCGAUUCUGUCAUCGCUGUCGGUUUGUGGGAGAUCGGCUUUAUGCCUAGUGCAACUUAAGCUACGAACAUGAUGUGAACAAUCACUGGAGAUGUGCUGACCGCUGGUCUCUAAUCCACAAAGCACGAUUAGGAGCACUGAUAAUAAUGCUUUCCGUUGGUGGUGUGUCCAACUCAACCAGAUUAUACGACCACCAUUAGCCAUCAGAAGCAUCCGAAGCGAACAAAUCUUUUGUAGUCAUCCAUCCAAAGCGUCAUAAUGGUCGGAAGGGAAAAGGAAAAGAAGGAUACAUCCUCUGCUGCCAAAGGCGGAGGAGAGCUGAAAAGCGGAGGUGGUGGUGGGAAUCCCUCGGCCCGGUCGUUGACUUGUGUGUCUGAAGCUUUAUGGAUGGAAUUUUUUGAUCUGAUUUCAUUCUGCGAUCCAUGAUGUGGAGGUGGAAUCUAAAAGAUCGAUUCAUGACAUGUAUGCUAUAUGAUAUGAAUUCUAGAAUCCAUCACGAUUGUGUUGGAUUUGGUGUGGAAGGACCGGAGGCUGAUAGGAUGGCAAACAUGGCCACCUGUUUCUGUUCGACUAAUACUUGUUUGGUUCUGCUUUGCCUCCUGCAAGAAUCACUAGUUGAUGCAUCACGUCUUGUUUAGCAUUCAAAACGCCAAGAUGUAACAAACACAUGCCCAUCGAUCCAUUAAACGGUAGGGGCGACCUGUGCAAGUCAUCAUAUGAAAUGGCAGUCAGAAUAAUGGGGCUGACCUAUUCAGGCUACGAUCAAAAACAAUAAUAGAAAGUCAUGGAGCAUCAUUCCACGUUUGUGCUUGUUUCUGCAAGUCAUAAGAUUCGACCAAGAGUACUCCUUGUGAUGCCCGCCACCACAAAAGCUCUUCCACUCUAUUAUUUUAUGUGCACUGAUGAAAGGUCGAUCUUUAUACAUAUCCAUCGAGAUGAGACUCGAUUAAUUGAGCGAUAAAGAAACAGAUACGUAUCAUUCAUUCAAAGAAGAUUCGGAUGGGAGAAGGAUGAACUUCCCCUCUUCCAGCUAACUUCCAUGGAAGAUAAAUCAUAUAUAUAUAUAUAUAUAUAUAUGGCACUGUGUGUGAUGUUAGCUGCCAUCGGUCUAUCUCUGUGCGCUCAAAAUGAACAGUUUAGAGAUGGCCGUGGACGCGGCCGAAAUGGCAUCAGCCAUCAAGAGAACUUUCAACAGCGACGAGAGUUGGCAGGUCUGUGAACUGAGAGAGAGAGAGAGAGAGAGAGAGAGAGAGAGAGAGAUACACCUCCAAAGACGGGCACUGGUUGAUAGAUACGUUCCUGGAAAGCAGCCUGUGAUCCAAGCUUGACCAUGUGCCACCGAGUCCAAAAGUCUCUUACGGCAGAAAUUAAGAAUCGUAAAUAAUAAUGUGAUUAUGCAGAAUUAUCCUUUGAAGGUCCAAAAUUCUAAUGUAAUUAGUACUGGGGAUUGCAGUGCUGACACUGAUGAUUUGACGCCUAAGAAAUUAUUUGUAGGAAGAAACACCGCCAUGACUCGUGGUAAAAAAAAAAAAGUACACUGUGUAUUAUUCUAAGUUAAAUCUUAAUGAAUCAGUCUAUAUAUCAAAACAUGUUUAUGUCACUUGCAGUGUUGGAGGAAGAGAUUUCUUUUACUUUUCCUUUUUUCUCUUUGAAGGAAAGAUUGAAAAGAGAGGAUAUUUAGCUGCAGCGCUGAGUGUUCCAAAAUAGACGCCCACAUAUAUAUAUAUAUAUAUAUAUAUGCACAUCGUUCUCUCU